GUCCGGGUAGGAUUUGAUGGCCUCCUGCAGCUCCUUGUACACCUGGGUGGCGUCGUUGCAGCCGAACAUGGGCAGCUUCCACAUGGUCCAGUAGCGGCCGUCGUAGUAGCACGGGGAGGUGGAGUUCUCGCGGUACACGAAGCCGACCUUGCUGAACUCGAGGCAGGGUAUCCAGCCGUUGCGCAGCAGGUAGUCCACCUGCUUCAGCAGGUCGUCCGUCGACAGCGGCGGCAGGUACGACAGCGUCUCGAACUUCUUGUUGCCGUAGGCCGGCCACACCUGCACGUAGUACGUGUGUUUUGGUUCGUUUGGGGUUGGGAAAUGGGAUGGGAUGGGCAACACACAUCAGUCCAUGCAUGGAUCAUCAGUUCCCUUCCUAUUACUAACUCGCUAGCUGCAGCUGCUGCAAUGCAAAGAACUACUAGCUAGGAUGCAUUUGUUACCUGCAUGCACCGGAUCCUUCCGCCGUUGCUGACGUUGCCGAGGCUUCUGGAGGAGCGGCGGGCGACGGGGAGGCUGGCGGUGGACUUGAGCCCCUGGAACGGAGCGACGGCGGUGGCCGACGAGGCCAUCAUCACGGUGGGCGCCAUGGCUGCCUGGCUGCCUAGUAUGUAUGUACUCGCUGCUUGCUUGCUUGCUUGGGUCGUCCUGUAGUAGGCUCCCCCACACCGACGGCAUAUAUAGAGGGGGAGAGUGUGCGACGGGAUGGCCGGCUCCGGCUCUCGUUGGGGGCAGGACGCAGUACAGGACAGGACGAAGCGGAUGUGGGACGAGUGGCCACCGUUCUCCCGUGGCCGCGCCCGGCCAGCCUGGCCCUAUCCUGAUCGCGUCCGCCACCACAUGUCGCGUCCCCGUGGCGCGCCUUAUCGCCUGCGCGCCAUGGUUGGACUAUGCGUGAUGUGCCAGGGACUUGUAGAUAGGAGGAAGCGCAGUUUAGGCUCGUCGCGGUUCUGGGCAAAGACAAAACAGUUUUGGGCUUGGGCUUCGGCUUCGGCUUCGGCUGCGUCUGCUUGCAGUUUUGGCUCUUUGCAUCGUCUGCUGCUCUCUCACCUGAGGCACUGACGCCGGCCCUGUUUGGAUCUACAGAAUUGGGCUGAAUUCAAGUCAGUUUCCAGGAUGGCUUGUUUGGCAGCGCAUUGAAAUUGGAAAGUGACAGUAGAAUUUUUUGGCAUAUAUAUGCGCCUUACUUAGCUACCUCGAAUUCAUGGCAAUUCCGCCUCUUGUCUUUUAUCGGGCGUCGUCCACGAGCGCCUACGCCUUCCCCAACCAUUCCACCUAUUCUAUUUUUCUACAAAAAAAAUAAUUACCCCAGCCUCAGCUAUUUAUGAAAAAUAUAUGAACUUUCGCUAGAGUUGCAUUUGAAUUCCCCACGUCUGUCAUCAGUCAUCACGAAAGAAAGGUAAAUCUAAAACUCCUCCUAAAAAUGUUAUUUAAUUACCCAAACAUGCCUAAAACUGCAUUUAAGGAUAUCUACUAUGAAAGGUAUUGCAAAAUAACACACUAAAUGUGCCAUUUAUCUUUGCAAGCCGCGGAUGCAGAUCUAGCGCCAGAUUAAAGGGAGCUCGAUUCAUGGAUAUAUGUUCUUUUUCAAAGAAUGUUUAUGGUCGAUGUUUGUUAUUUUUUUCGUUUUGCGAAACCGUAUGCAAGAAAUUACAAAAGGUGGGGAACUUUUUGUUUUCAUAAUCAAAAAAAUAUGUCUUUUAGAUUACGCGUAUCUAAGCAAUGUAAAUACGCUAAAUUUGUGUCUUACUUAUGUACCUACGUGCUCAAUUAACUAAAUAUUCCACAUAUUUUUGUCUUACCAAUAUAAUCUAUUAUAGAAAAUAAUUCAACAACCAUAGAAAUAUGCAUAAAUUUUUCUAGACUACACAUUCUACCAUUUCUCUACUGAUAUAAGGUCCUGUCCUUAAGCAACCUAGUUUUUAAGAAGCCAGAUUCUAUCUCUAAUUUCCAGAAAUUGGUUUAUAAAAACAACUGGUUAAUCGUGUUUGUAACCAUCUCAAUUUCUAUAAAUUAGUUUUAGCUAGGGGAGGCUAGCUUCUUGGUUUUAAGAAACCGAGAAUCCAGUUUCCAUAAACAAGCACAUAAACUGAUAUGUUUGAAACCACCUCAUCUUGAUAAACCAAUUUCUUAAAACUGGGAGCUUCCAUACAGACCCUUAAGCAUCAGUUUUUCUCGUUUCCACCGUCGUCCAUUUAAAAAAUCCUUAUGCAUUUUAUAAUCUAACCCACGGUCUAACAACUACAACACAUACAAGGCAAAACCGCAUUCUUGUGUCACUUUCCAAUUCAAUGCGUUGGUGGCCCCAGGUCUGUACAGUCUCCGUGUUCGCCCCGAGAUCUUGCCUGGCGAUGUUGCCUCCGACCUCGUCGCGACACAGAUCCUCGUGCCCGAUAUACCUCCGUGUUGGCCUACCCACGCUCCCCAAACCCUAGGGGUUCCACGCACGAGAUAGGGAUAUGAAGGCGCUGGUGGGGCGGACGGUGCGAAAUCGGUAGGCCCCUCACAAUCCCCUCCCACAAGUUGUCAUCGAUCUCGCUGCGACAUAGGCCCUCGCGCCCGAUCUACCACCACACUGGCCUCCCCUCGCUCCGCAAACCGUAGGGGUUCCGCACGAGAUAGGGAUGGAGGCGCUGCUGGGGCAGGUACUGUGGAAGACGUUCCCAGGGUUCGGUACCUUCAUGGGCGUUGUGGAGUCGUACGACCUCUACGCGACCUAUUUCUACAUGCUCUAAAAGGACGAUGAUUCCGAGGAGGUCGACGUCGACAAGUUGGCCCUAGAUUAUCGUUGGACCCACGAUGCCAUGCGCGCUGCAGUAACAACAGAAGCACACCCACUACAGGAGACAAAAUCAUUUUUGGCGGUCAAAAGCCGCCAAAAAUAAGCCAUAUACCACCGAAAAUAGCUUAUUUUUGGCGGCAUCUUGCCGCCAAAAAAAUUAUCCAAAAAUAAAGACUAAUUUUUGGCAGCAACACCUAGGUCGAAAAUAACUUAUUUUCGACGGUCACGCUGUUGCCGCCGAAAAUAGAGCAGCCGAAAAUAUACAAGCUUAUUUUCGACAGAAUGUAAAAUUAACAGCAAUUUUAACAACACUAUAAUAUAAUCACAAUAUUAUGACAGCAAAAGAAAUUCCAGAAUUACACACAUUCAACACAAAAUAUCACAAUUCACCACAAUUCCUCACAAAUACAUCACAGUUCACCAAAAUACCUUACAAAUCCAUUACAAUCUAGCACAAAUUCACAAUUCCAUCACAAAAACAUCAUAAUCGAGUGCAUCAUCCAAAAUCACCACAAGAGUCAAAUCAUGUCUCAAGGUAUUGGUGGUCCAACCACUUGGGCUUCAGAGUUGCCCUCGAAAAAGGCUAAGGUUUGAUUCAUUUUCACCGGCGUUGUAACGAGGAGGUGGGUUAUGCACACUCGAGAGAUUGUCACCAUAAUAUGUUGAUGUGAAGUUUGACACCUACUCCAGAAUGUAUGCCUGUUUAAUGGAAGCCUCCAUUUUGCAUUUCUUUCUACAUUUCUUUUGAAUAACCAUUAGACACUUCUCGAUUGAAUAUCACCAAUGUCCCUGCACGGGGCCCCGAUUCGUGCCUCAUACGGGAGAUGCAGAAUCAAAUGUUGCAUCGGAUUGCCAUUCUUUCCAAGUGGAAGCCAAGUGGAAAGUUCUUCUCCAACUUACACAUUAACACGAGUGCCAUUCUUUCCAAGUCUGCAAUCAUGGUCCGAGAUAACUCCUCGACACAAAGCUAGCAGAAGAAAUAGCUCAACUCUGCAAGAACUAUCUAGACAUGCUCAGGGACAUAGCCCCAUACCAUCCCCAGAAGAAGUUGUUCAAUCCAUAUGUGGUAGUCAUGACUCUUCAUCCCUAAGACUCAUAUAGUAGAUAAGUUCACCCCCUACUCAUGUUAGCUGCAUACCCAUCAGGGAACAUUAACAUCUUGAUCCACUCUAGUACUUCCCUCCUCAGGGCCUUGCUCAAGACAAAAUCGACCUUAGGCCUUCUCCAUGUCUUUCCACUACUAGGAAGCUUCAUCUCUUGGUUUGGUCUAUCACAUAACACUGCCAGAUCCACUCUUGCCUUAAUGUUAUCCUUUGUCUUAUCAGGAAUAUCCACGAUUGUUGCCCAAAGUGCCUCUAUGGCAUUCUUUUCAGUGUGUAUCACAUCAAUAUUGCGUGGAAGGAGAAGGUCAUCAUAAUAGGGGAGCCGAGUCAAGCCCGAAUUUAUGGGUCCACAUAUGUUGCUCACCAUAUCCCACAAAACCACCUUCUAGAUUGACCACGAGACCGUCUAUUUGUUGAUGAACUUUGGCACUAGUCAUCUGUAAGGAAAAUUGACCUCGACCCAUUUGACUAAAUGAUUUUGUUGAUCGAUGAUCAACAGAAUCUAUGGACUAAUGUGUUUGCUAGUGUUUGUAUUUGUAGUUCACAAGAUGCUAAAGUAACUUGGACCAAGGCAUUGAGCAAGCAACACUCAAAAGAAGACACUAUGAAGACCAUAAGUGAAUAUCAAGAAGUAUAAAGCAAAGUACAAUACUUGAAUAAAGUGUAGCCACUCGCGGACCGUCCGGCUGAGAACAACGGACUAUCCGAUGCACCAGGAAACAGGACCCAACGACUAGUUUCCUGGUGGCACUGUGGAGGACAACCACCGGAUUGUUCGGUGCACCACCGGACUGUCCCGUGUAAGGAUGACAUGCGACAACAGUCACCUGCAACGGUCAUAUCCAACGGCUAUGGGGCACCGGAUAGGGCACCGGACUGUCCAGUGCCUACCACCAGACUGUCCGGUGUGCCACAAAGAGGAACAGCUUUUCUCCAACUGCUAGUUUUGAGUUGGGGCCUAUAUAUACUUCACCCAACCGACCAUUUUGAAGGUGUGGGAGCCCAACAUACCAGCACAUGUUAUAGACAUUUCCAAGUGCUCAAACACCCAAGUGCUUAAUAGAACCACUCGGUGAUUAGCGUAGGUGUUUUGCGAAGUGCUUAGGUUAGUUAGACCACUUAUACGCUUGCUCUAGGUGAAUCCUAGUUAGUUGAGUGAGUUUAGAAAAACCCACAAACCCCAUGGCUCUUGUGCGAGCUGUUGUAAUUGUAUCGCAUGGAGCGAGAGUCUUGCGAGACUGUGAUAACCGAGUUUGUGUCAUGGCCGCCACCGUGUACCGAAGGGAACGAGGCCCGUAACGUUUCGGUGGGAAUCUCUAUAGUGGAGACGACGGGGAGCGUUCGAUAGGAGCUGGAAGCGGAGCACCACUUGAGCAUGAAGAAGGCCCAUGACUCUCUACGGAGUUACUCGACCGUGGUGCUUGGCUCUCGCGUGGGCUACUCUUUUGCGUAGGGGCACCAACGAGGGUUAGUCGGGACCUUGCGUGGUUCCGGAUACCUCGGUAAAAAUACUAGCGUCAUCCAUGAGAGUUUGCUUUCUCUACAACCUCUUUAAUCUUCUGCAAUUACUCUAUCUACUUACGUUGCAAUCUUUACUAUUUUUAUUGUAGAAUAUUUAUGAUUGGAACUUAGGUUGCUUUUGCGGUAGAGAUAGCAACACUUACACAAAACCUAGUUUGCACAUUCUAGAUUGCUUAUUUGCAUAGGUUUUGUUCUAAGGAUUUAUUUGUGACCUAGUUUAGAAAGUAGUUUUUAGAAGUCCUAAUUCACCCCCUCUUAGGCAUCGCCGUUUCCUAAAUAAUCACUGUAGGUGGGCGGUCUAUCACUAUGACACCUUUCAUAAAGGUCUUGAUGUCUUAUCGGAAUGCAUGAUCAGGAGGGAGAAAUUGUCGGUGUUUAUCGAACGUCGAAUAUUUGUCACCCUUCUUCAACCAAAUGAACCUAAGACCUUGAUUGCAAACUGGACAUGGGAACUUACCGUGAACACACUAGGUGGAGAAUAGCCCAUAUGCCGGGAAGUCAUGUAUGGAGUACUUGUACCAAACAUGCAUUUUGAAGUUUUUCUUUGUAGCUCAGUCGUAUGUCCAUACCCCUUCCUCCCAAGCACAGACCAAUUCAUCAUUCACAUGCUCCAUGUACACACUCAUUUUAUUCUCCGGGUGUCCAGGAAUUAUCAACGACAAGAACAUGUUCUGUCAUUGAAAGCAUAUGACGGGGGAGAUUGAGGGGGAUAACGAACACAGGCAACACGUGUAUGGGUAGCUAUCAAUCCAUACGUAUUGAACCCAUCUGUGGCCAGUGCAACAUGUACGUUACGAGCUUCUUUAGCUUCGUCAUGGUGAAUGACAUCAAAUUGGGUCCAUGCUUCACCAUCGGAUGCAUGUACCAUCUUGUCAGGAUUCUAUCGUUUUCCAUUUUUGUGCCAUGCAUCUGUUUCAUGGAAUCCUCAGUCAUGUAUAGCCAUUGGAUCCUCGAUAUGAAUGGAAUAUGUGUAGGAUUAUCACAGGGAUGCUGAGCUAUCUCUUCUGUCCAUCACCAGAGUCUACCUCCAUGAACCUAGACGAUUUACAUUUCAGACAGUACUUUGCCUCUGCGUAUUCUUUCCUAAAUAGGACGCAACACUUCGGACAAGUAUGUAUUUGCUCAUACGUCAUCUUGAGUGCAUGAAGGAGUCUCUGUACCUCAUACAUGAUCUUUAGCAGAACGUGAUCCUCUUUAAGCAAGCUUCUAAUAACUGUCAACAUACCAUCGAAGGCUUCUCGACUCAGUCUAUACUAUGACUUUAAGGCCAUUAUAUGUCCAAUGGCACCCAAUUGAGAAAUGUAACACCCAGUUUGUAACCUAUAAUAAAAGAGGAGAAAUUAAUUCCUUUAUCUAUAUGAGUGUUAUUCCUACUUAUCAUCACAUGUGAACACCAUAAUCAAAAAAAUAAUAAUUAAUAAAAGACUUACCAAAAAAAAUGUGUGCAUCAUGUUGGUUCUUUAUUUUGUGUGCAUUAUGUGGCAAUAUAAAAGUAAUGUGACAAGAAAUAUAUUAAAUUCCCAAGUGGAAAUUUAGAAUUUAAAAGAAAUCCUAGAAUUGAGAAAAGAAGAGAAAUUAAUAGGGGAAUAAAAAUAAGUAUAAAAAUAUAUACAUUAUUCUUAUACAUAUUGGAUUUUGAAUAUUUUACUCAAAGGUUAAGUCCACAAAAAGGGAUUCAAAUUCAAACUAGAGAUUCAAAUGAAUAUAUAUAAAAAAAGAUAAAAGAAAAAGGGGAAAGAAGCCAAUUGGGCCUCAGGCUUCAUUUCGGCCCAGUAACCAAAACACACCAUGCGGCCCGUCCAGCCGCCUGGUGGUGGUGCCGACAGGUGGGCCACCCUUGUCAUCCCGCUCUCACGCGCACUUGGCAAGAAACUUGUUACGCUGCUGGCGGGCCCCACUCGUCAGACUUAUCUCCCUUCUCACAACAACCCCCGCGUCAGCGCAACAGAACCGUGGUGCUGCCCAGGGAUUCCGAGCUCGCGCAUACGCCUACCGAAAUCGAAGCCGAAAUUCGUGGAAGACUACCUGCUCGGGCUGCCAUCCUCCCUCCGAUUUUCCCCGUCGCAACCAUCGCCGUUGAUCUCGGAUGCCGUUGAGGGUAGUCCGCACAUGGGGAAGGCCUAUAAGUUGGGCGAUGUGCGUUCCUCCUCCUAUCCCACCUCUCCAGAAGUUUCGUGGCCGGGCAGGGUGAGAUACUCGCGGUUGGGAGCUCGACGGAACCACCGUCACGUGGUCAUCUGUGCUGCUCCAUGGUCGCGUGCGUGGGCAUCGAGCGACCGCCUGCGUAGGGAGGAAAAGGGUUAGCCGCCGCGUCGUUUCCUCGGAACGCCGUCGUCCUGGCUCGGGUAGCCGCAAUUGAGGUUCGCGAGAGCACGUGGGUCAUCGUCAGGCUAGGCGCCAGGUGUGGCGGUCUCCAGAAUCCGACUAAUUCGUCGCCGGGGUUUUCUUUCGCGGCGGAAAUUGUGGUCGGCCGUGGCCGGCUGAUCUGGGCGCCAAAUCGACCGGUAUGACCUAACCUAUUACCUUCCUCGCCAUAACCGCAUUCGUUUUUAUAAAUCCGGGGGUCGAAGUAGUUGGCCGGGUCGCGCAAAUCGCUUGCCGCGGCGGAACUCCGGUGGGCGUUUGGGGGUGGCGCAGCCGCAGGCGGCCGAGGGAGGAAGAUACACUUGCGCCGUCGGAUGGGAGUUGGACGGGGAUGAUUAGAAUUGAGCGUACCCUUUCGCUGAUGCCAUCUGGGCCGUUCGACUGGUCUCGGACGGGUGCGAUCAGGGCGCGCUUAUUUUAAACCAGGGCCGUGAAAUCUAGAUCCGACGGCUAGGGUUGAGCGCGGAGGGUAACUCGCCUGGAUCUAAUCUGACACGUCUGUUUCAGAUCGGGCGGUCUGAACUUGUCGAUACCGCUUCGCUGGCCACUUUGCUAAAGAGCCCUCGGGAAACUCAGAAACCAACCCGCGAUCCGUCCCUGGUAGAUUCUGAGUCUGGAGAAAUCUUAUAAGCUAGCCCCUGUCUUUCCCUGUAAUAGGCGCCUAGUCCAGAGAGUUAUAAAAUCAGAGAAAUGAAUUAGAAAAUGAGUUUUUAAAAUAAAAACAAUACCUAGAUUUUGUAUAAUUCAUAGAAAAUGCAUAUGAACUCCAAAUUAGUUCAUUCCAGUUUCUAAAUUUUCAUAAUAUUAUUGUCUAACCAUUGGUGCCUCUGUUUGGCAUGAAAGACACAUUAAAAUUUAUCUAAUACUUAAUCAUGUAUUAAAUACAUAAAAUCUUGGAAAAUUCAUAACUUAAAAUCUAUAACUCCAAAUUUAAUGAUUCCAGUUCCUGUGAUCUUAUUUUAAUAUCUAGAUUAUUACUGUGUAUUUUAUUUACAUGCUUGGUGUAAUGUUAAUUUUGCCUAUACAAUGUUUGUUUGUAUUGCUACGACUACAGCGAGGACACGUGUCAUCUGAAGAUCAUCCUGGUACCUGGAAUCUCAAGUCACAGGCAAGUUGUGCCCUUGAUCACUUCUUUUACCUACUCAUGUUCUGAUUAAUCAUAAUGAUCUGCAUAGGUUACUUUUGAUGGGACCCAAUAGGUCACCCUAGUUUGUUCAUCCUGAAUACCUUGUUUACCCCUAAAUCACUUGGGUAGUUCUGCUACUGCUUUAUAUGGUUUUGGGUUAAUAUUUCAUUACAUCUAUGUUCCAAUUAUGUUGUUAUUCUAUUUAUGUUCAUGACAAGAUCAUUAAAAUGUUAAUUGGAACAUAGAGCUUAACUUGAGAACCACGUGCCACCACAAGGGUUUAAUGGGACGCCCUUGGCUGACUAAUUAGGAAAGCUAGUGGAGGACUACCUUACCCGAAAGGGGCAAGGGCAGUAGGGGAGUGGUCAGUGUAGGGAGGCCCUCGGGAGGAUUUUGCUGCGAUGGCGGUCCUGCAAGGGAUUCCUGCAUUGGAGCUUCCUAUAAACUGUAGCGGGUUUUCUGAAGCUAGUGGAACUUUGUAAAGGCCUCGUAGUGUUACCCUGCCUCGCCUCCUCGGUAGAGGUGUAUGGGAAGUCGCGAUCCCUUGGCAGAUGGGUAACAUGACUUGUGGGUAAAGCGUACCACCUCUGCAGAGUGUAAAACUGGUAUACUAGCCGAGCUCACGGUCAUGAGCAGCUCAGGACUCUCUGAUGAUUAAAUUAUAGAACUUAAACUCAAUUUGUCAUAUGCAUUGCAUUGCAGGUGAGGUUGUUACUUUUGUUCUACUACUUAAUUGGGUUGGUAUUUACUAAUUGCUAAUAAAAUUUUGACCAACUUUAAAAGCAAUGCUCAGCUUCAACCAUCCUCUUUGGUAAGCCUUACACUUCACAUGAGCUCCCACCUUUGGCGAGUUCAUGCACAUUAUUCCCCACAACUUGUUGAGCGAUGAACGUAUGUGAGCUCACUCUUGCUGUCUCACACCCCCCCACAGGUCAAGAACAGGUACCGCAGGAUGAGGCGCUUGGAGGAUGCUGCGAUGAGUUCGUGAGAGAUCUAGGCCGUCGUCUCCCAGUCAACUUUGGGUUGCUGGACCGUUGUCUCCUUAUAAUGUAAUUACUUAAUUAUUUUGUAUAGAACUCCUGUUAUGUAGUAAAGAUGUGACAUUCGAUCCUGUGCCAUGAUUCAUCAUAUGUGUGAGACUUGGUCCCAGCACACCUGGUGUUUAUGUUCGCGCCCGGGUUUUUGGACCCCUAAAAUCCGGGUGUGACAGAAGUGGUAUCAGAGGAAUGUGGACUGUAGGACGAAACCUAGAUAGAACUGGACAACCAAUACUUACUUACCUUUGCUACUCUGAUUCUUUUCUAAACUUAUCUUAAUCUUUUCUCGUCUAUUUCCGCUCUACUCUGAUUAUUCUUACCUUUUCUUUCCAAAGACAAAUGUGGAUUUCACACUUUGAAAUCUUGUGCCUAAAGUGACUUUUAGGAAUAGGAGACUUCAUCUUAGGAACAAAAACAAAACUAUUUUUUUAUAUAAUUAUCUGUGCCCUUGAAUGUUUGUUCUUAUGAUACUUGCCUGAUUUGGAUCUUUGAUUGAGUGUGAUGAGUUGUGGAGUAAUGUCCACAAUUACAUCUGCAUAUACAUAUAGAAAAAAAAACACCUAUAAAAAAAAUAACUAGAUAAACUAGAGUAUCUAGCCUAACAAUAUCCAUCUUAGCUUAAAAGAUUCAUAUUCUACACUCAUAGAUCCAUCUUAUCUUAAAAGAUACUCUAUUACCUUAAUAGAUUAAUCUUAUCUUGAAAAGAUUUUAUCUUAUCCUAAUAGAUCUAACUAACCUCAAAAGAUUCUACCUUAUCCCUAUGAAUGCAUCUUGCCCUAAUAAGCAUAUUUACCCCCACACUAGUGUAACAACCAUGAUCUAAUCCAAAGUAAUUAGACAUUAUCUAGUCUAACCUAGUUGUACCGAUCUAAUCUAGAUCCCAUCUAAUCUACUAUGAUCCAAUUUAAAGAGAGUGACCUAAGAAGUUAGUUAAUCCUAGUGAAAUACAUUAGACCCUGCUCCUAUAAACAAGUUUGAGAUCCUAGAUCAACUCGGCCAUACCCAACAACUUGACCUACAUAAUAGAUCUAUCUUAACCUCCUGUCCCAAACCCGGAUGGAGACACCAAAGAGCAAGAAGGAGGAGAUCAACCUCGACAUGGAAGAAUAGGAGUCAAAUCAGAUCUCGAGAUGAUUCAAAUUUACCACCUUGGACGGAGUCUUCCCUUAUCAAGUUCUUCUUACCAUCAGCUAACCUCACUCUGACCAUCUCUCUUCUUACAUGUGUGUCUAAACAUAGAAGAUACCCAUGCACUCCUAAUCACCCACUUUUGACUAUAAAAUACUCUGGAUAUUUGAAACAAUUAUAGACUAAAAGUUGAAUUACAAGCCAAUCGUUUUGUAUUCCUUUCCUUACAAAUCUCGAGGACGAGAUUAUUUUUAAGGGGGGUAGGAUUUGUAACACCCAGUUUGUAACCUAUAAUAAAAGAGGAGAAAUUAAUUCCUUUAUCUAUAUGAGUGUUAUUCCUACUUAUCAUCACAUGUGAACACCAUAAUCAAAAAAAUAAUAAUUAAUAAAAGACUUACCAAAAAAAAUGUGUGCAUCAUGUUGGUUCUUUAUUUUGUGUGCAUUAUGUGGCAAUAUAAAAGUAAUGUGACAAGAAAUAUAUUAAAUUCCCAAGUGGAAAUUUAGAAUUUAAAAGAAAUCCUAGAAUUGAGAAAAGAAGAGAAAUUAAUAGGGGAAUAAAAAUAAGUAUAAAAAUAUAUACAUUAUUCUUAUACAUAUUGGAUUUUGAAUAUUUUACUCAAAGGUUAAGUCCACAAAAAGGGAUUCAAAUUCAAACUAGAGAUUCAAAUGAAUAUAUAUAAAAAAAGAUAAAAGAAAAAGGGGAAAGAAGCCAACUGGGCCUCAGGCUUCAUUUCGGCCCAGUAACCAAAACACACCAUGCGGCCCGUCCAGCCGCCUGGUGGUGGUGCCGACAGGUGGGCCACCCUUGUCAUCCCGCUCUCACGCGCACUUGGCAAGAAACUUGUUACGCUGCUGGCGGGCCCCACUCGUCAGACUUAUCUCCCUUCUCACAACAACCCCCGCGUCAGCGCAACAGAACCGUGGUGCUGCCCAGGGAUUCCGAGCUCGCGCAUACGCCUACCGAAAUCGAAGCCGAAAUUCGUGGAAGACUACCUGCUCGGGCUGCCAUCCUCCCUCCGAUUUUCCCCGUCGCAACCAUCGCCGUUGAUCUCGGAUGCCGUUGAGGGUAGUCCGCACAUGGGGAAGGCCUAUAAGUUGGGCGAUGUGCGUUCCUCCUCCUAUCCCACCUCUCCAGAAGUUUCGUGGCCGGGCAGGGUGAGAUACUCGCGGUUGGGAGCUCGACGGAACCACCGUCACGUGGUCAUCUGUGCUGCUCCAUGGUCGCGUGCGUGGGCAUCGAGCGACCGCCUGCGUAGGGAGGAAAAGGGUUAGCCGCCGCGUCGUUUCCUCGGAACGCCGUCGUCCUGGCUCGGGUAGCCGCAAUUGAGGUUCGCGAGAGCACGUGGGUCAUCGUCAGGCUAGGCGCCAGGUGUGGCGGUCUCCAGAAUCCGACUAAUUCGUCGCCGGGGUUUUCUUUCGCGGCGGAAAUUGUGGUCGGCCGUGGCCGGCUGAUCUGGGCGCCAAAUCGACCGGUACGACCUAACCUAUUACCUUCCUCGCCAUAACCGCAUUCGUUUUUAUAAAUCCGGGGGUCGAAGUAGUUGGCCGGGUCGCGCAAAUCGCUUGCCGCGGCGGAACUCCGGUGGGCGUUUGGGGGUGGCGCAGCCGCAGGCGGCCGAGGGAGGAAGAUACACUUGCGCCGUCGGAUGGGAGUUGGACGGGGAUGAUUAGAAUUGAGCGUACCCUUUCGCUGAUGCCAUCUGGGCUGUUCGACUGGUCUCGGACGGGUGCGAUCAGGGCGCGCUUAUUUUAAACCAGGGCCGUGAAAUCUAGAUCCGACGGCUAGGGUUGAGCGCGGAGGGUAACUCGCCUGGAUCUAAUCUGACACGUCUGUUUCAGAUCGGGCGGUCUGAACUUGUCGAUACCGCUUCGUUGGCCACUUUGCUAAAGAGCCCUCGGGAAACUCAGAAACCAACCCGCGAUCCGUCCCUGGUAGAUUCUGAGUCUGGAGAAAUCUUAUAAGCUAGCCCCUGUCUUUCCCUGUAAUAGGCGCCUAGUCCAGAGAGUUAUAAAAUCAGAGAAAUGAAUUAGAAAAUGAGUUUUUAAAAUAAAAACAAUACCUAGAUUUUGUAUAAUUCAUAGAAAAUGCAUAUGAACUCCAAAUUAGUUCAUUCCAGUUUCUAAAUUUUCAUAAUAUUAUUGUCUAACCAUUGGUGCCUCUGUUUGGCAUGAAAGACACAUUAAAAUUUAUCUAAUACUUAAUCAUGUAUUAAAUACAUAAAAUCUUGGAAAAUUCAUAACUUAAAAUCUAUAACUCCAAAUUUAAUGAUUCCAGUUCCUGUGAUCUUAUUUUAAUAUCUAGAUUAUUACUGUGUAUUUUAUUUACAUGCUUGGUGUAAUGUUAAUUUUGCCUAUACAAUGUUUGUUUGUAUUGCUACGACUACAGCGAGGACACGUGUCAUCUGAAGAUCAUCCUGGUACCUGGAAUCUCAAGUCACAGGCAAGUUGUGCCCUUGAUCACUUCUUUUACCUACUCAUGUUCUGAUUAAUCAUAAUGAUCUGCAUAGGUUACUUUUGAUGGGACCCAAUAGGUCACCCUAGUUUGUUCAUCCUGAAUACCUUGUUUACCCCUAAAUCACUUGGGUAGUUCUGCUACUGCUUUAUAUGGUUUUGGGUUAAUAUUUCAUUACAUCUAUGUUCCAAUUAUGUUGUUAUUCUAUUUAUGUUCAUGACAAGAUCAUUAAAAUGUUAAUUGGAACAUAGAGCUUAACUUGAGAACCACGUGCCACCACAAGGGUUUAAUGGGACGCCCUUGGCUGACUAAUUAGGAAAGCUAGUGGAGGACUACCUUACCCGAAAGGGGCAAGGGCAGUAGGGGAGUGGUCAGUGUAGGGAGGCCCUCGGGAGGAUUUUGCUGCGAUGGCGGUCCUGCAAGGGAUUCCUGCAUUGGAGCUUCCUAUAAACUGUAGCGGGUUUUCUGAAGCUAGUGGAACUUUGUAAAGGCCUCGUAGUGUUACCCUGCCUCGCCUCCUCGGUAGAGGUGUAUGGGAAGUCGCGAUCCCUUGGCAGAUGGGUAACAUGACUUGUGGGUAAAGGGUACCACCUCUGCAGAGUGUAAAACUGGUAUACUAGCCGAGCUCACGGUCAUGAGCAGCUCAGGACUCUUUGAUGAUUAAAUUAUGGAACUUAAACUCAAUUUGUCAUAUGCAUUGCAUUGCAGGUGAGGUUGUUACUUUUGUUCUACUACUUAAUUGGGUUGGUAUUUACUAAUUGCUAAUAAAAUUUUGACCAACUUUAAAAGCAAUGCUCAGCUUCAACCAUCCUCUUUGGUAAGCCUUACACUUCACAUGAGCUCCCACCUUUGGCGAGUUCAUGCACAUUAUUCCCCACAACUUGUUGAGCGAUGAACGUAUGUGAGCUCACUCUUGCUGUCUCACACCCCCCCCCACAGGUCAAGAACAGGUACCGCAGGAUGAGGCGCUUGGAGGAUGCUGCGAUGAGUUCGUGAGAGAUCUAGGCCGUCGUCUCCCAGUCAACUUUGGGUUGCUGGACCGUUGUCUCCUUAUAAUGUAAUUACUUAAUUAUUUUGUAUAGAACUCCUGUUAUGUAGUAAAGAUGUGACAUUCGAUCCUGUGCCAUGAUUCAUCAUAUGUGUGAGACUUGGUCCCAGCACACCUGGUGUUUAUGUUCGCGCCCGGGUUUUUGGACCCCUAAAAUCCGGGUGUGACAAGAAACCUUUGUCUAGCCAUGAAGCGGGUUCUGUGUUGUGUCAAACAUGUCAUAGAACGCCCUUGUGGCCGCCUCUGGCUCAUCACACGUACGUCCUUCAGCGAACUAUGCCUCAUGAUAGUCGUUCAAUAUGUCCGCUACCCCGACACCAGCAUUAUAAUACUCGAUGUGUUGUCUUACCACCUCCUCUCUCAUAAGAUGCAGUUCACCAUGGAAGAUCCACCGGGUAUAGUCUAUCGUAAAUCCAUUCUUCCAAAUAUGUUCUCUCAUGACCUUCUUUGUUUGUUUUUCCUGUUUGUACAUUUGCUGCACUGACAUGGGACUAGACUUGCUCCUUUAGAAGCUUCGCCAAAUGUCCGUUCCAAGAAAACAUCAAUCUUUGUAAUCCAUUCACUAGUGACAUCACCACUUCUUACGUGGCCUGUGUACAUCCACUCACGAUACUCCAUCCUCUAACAUAUAUAGCACAGAGAAUUAUAAACCUCUAAUGCUUCUACACUACGCUCGUACCUUCUAAUAGGUGAGGAUAUGUCCUAAUCCCACCCGAGGUUGCUUAGAUGGGGUUAGUGUCCAUGCUCUACUCCGAUCCAAGACAGAAUUUUGGCAGCAUGAAAGGGAAUUAGGCUUACACCUAGUUCCUAAAUAGUUUUGGUGGUUGAAUCGCCCAACACAAAUAAAUUGGACUAACUAGUUUGCUCUAGAUUACAUGUUCUACAGGUGCCAAAGGUUCAUCUACAACUAUACUAAUUCGACUGUCCGGAAUACCGUAGAUUAUUCCGGACAGGAGAAGCUUUUUGGAAAAACAGGCCAAGCGCGGACCGUCCGGGCUCUUGCGGCGGACCGUCCGCGACAUCGGGAUACCCCUCGGACAGAACCAAUGCAAAAACACAAGUUUCCACUACAGACUGUCCGGAGGAAAAGCGAAGACCGUCCGAGCCCUCGCGCGGACCGUCCGGCCUCAGGCGCGGACCGUCCGGUCGGUAAGGAACCGAAAAACCCGAAGGUGACGGGUUCGGAGAAAUGAAUUUUAGCGGCCUCGCGGACCGUCCGGGCCAGGCGGGCGGACCGUCCGCGACUGGCUCCGUCUGACAUCUGACGUCGCAUUAAAUGCAAUAUAGCCGUUGAUAUAGCCGUUACUGCUGACCGUUGCAUCUUCAGCCGUUGAUCUACAGGGGCGGACCGUCCGCACCAGGAGGGCGGACCGUCCGCGCUCAGCAGAAAGGCCCAACGGCUAGGAAGUGGUUGGUGGCUAUAAAUACAACCCCAACCACCUCCAUUCACUUUAUCCAAGCAUUCCAACCUUCAACAUUCAAUACAAGAGCUAGCAAUCCAUUCCAAGACACUUUCAAAGCCUCCAUCUCUCCAAGUUUCACUAUUGAGAUAAGAGAUCAUUAGUGAUUAGUGGCUUGAGAGAGAAAGCGAUCCGUGUGUCAUUUGUCGCUCUUGUUGCUUGGCUUUUUAAUCGUGCUUUCUUGAUUCUUUCAUUGCGAUCAAACUCACUUGUAAUUAAGGCAAGAGACACCAAUCUUGUGGUGAUCCUUGUAGGAACUUUGUGUUCCAAGUGAUUGAGAAAAGAAAGCUCACUCGAUCCGUGGAUCGUUUGAGAGAGGGAAGGGUUGAAAGAGACCCGGCCUUUGUGGCCUCCUCAACGGGGAGUAGGUUUGCAAAAACCGAACCUCGGUAAAACAAAUCCGCGUGUCACCUCUCCAUUUGGUUGCGAUUUGUUUUGCGCCCUCUCUUGCGGACUCAUUUAUUAUUACUAACGCUAACCCCGGCUUGUAGUUGUGUUUAUAUUUGUAAAUUUCAGUUUCGCCCUAUUCACCCCCCCUCUAGGCGACUAUCAAUUGGUAUCAGAGCCCGGUGCUUCAUUAGAGCCUAACCGCUCGAAGAGAUGUCGGGAGAUCACGCCAAGAAGGAGAUGGAGACCGGCGACGAAAAGCCCACUACAAGCUACGGGAGCACUUCAUCGGAAGAGUCCCGCACCAAAAGGAGGGAGAAGAAGAAGAGCUCCUCCAACAAAGGGAAGGAGAAGAAAUCUUCUUCUCACCACAAAGAGAAGAAGGAAAAAUCUUCUUCCCACAAGCCGCAUCGGAAAGGCGAUAAGCACAAGAGGAUGAGGAAGGUGGUCUACUAUGAGACCGACACUUCAUCAACUUCUACCUCCGACUCCGAUGCGCCCUCCGUCACUUCUAAACGCCAAGAGCGUAAGAAGUAUAGUAAGAUUCCCCUACGCUAUCCUCGUAUUCCUAAACAUACACCUCUACUUUCCGUCCCUUUAGGUAAACCACCAACUUUUAAUGGUGAAGAUUAUGCUAUGUGGAGUAAUUUGAUGCGAUUUCAUCUAACCUCUCUCCACAAAAGAAUAUGGGAUGUUGUUGAGUAUGGUGUACAGGUACCAUCAAUAGGGGAUGAGGACUAUGACACGGACGAAGUGGCCCAAAUCGAGCACUUCAACUCCCAAGCCGCAACCAUCCUCCUUGCCUCCCUAAGCAAGGAGGAAUACAACAAAGUACAAGGAUUGAAGAACGCCAAGGAGAUUUGGGACCUACUCAAGACGGCGCACGAGGGUGAUGAACUCACCAAGAUCACCAAGCGGGAAACGAUCGAGGGGGAGCUCGGUCGCUUCCGUCUUCGCCAAGGGGAGGAGCCACAAGACAUGUACAACCGGCUCAAGACCUUGGUGAACCAAGUGCGCAACCUAGGGAGCACAAAAUGGGAUGACCACGAAGUGGUUAAGGUUAUUCUGAGAGCCCUUAUUUUCCUUAACCCUACUCAAGUACAAUUAAUUCGUGGCAAUCCUAGAUAUACACAAAUGACCCCCGAGGAAGUCAUCGGGAAUUUUGUUAGUUUUGAAUGCAUGAUUAAGGGCUCCAAGAAGAUCAACGAGCUUGAUGAGCCUUCCACAUCCGAGGCGCAACCCGUGGCCUUCAAGGCAACGGAGGAGAAGAAGGAGGAGUCUACACCAAGUAGACAACCAAUUGACGCCUCCAAGCUCGACAACGAGGAGAUGGCCCUAAUCAUCAAAAGCUUCCGGCAAAUCCUCAAGCAACGGAAGGGGAAGGACUACAAAUCCCGUUCCAAGAAGGUUUGCUACAAGUGUGGUAAGCCCGGUCACUUUAUUGCUAGAUGUCCAUUAUCAAGUGACAGUGACAGGGACAACGACAAGAAGGGCAAGAGGAAGGAGAAGAAGAAGUACUACAAGAAGAAGGGCGGCGAUGCCCAUGUUUGUCGGGAGUGGGACUCCGACGAAAGCUCAAGCGACUCCUCCGACGACGAGGACGCCGCCAACAUCGCCGUCACCAAAGGCCUCCUCUUCCCCAACGUCGGCCACAAGUGCCUCAUGGCCAAGGACGGCAAAAAGAAGGUAAAAUCAAAGUCCUCCACUAAAUAUGAAACAUCUAGUGAUGAGGAUGAUAAAAAUGAGGAAGAUAACUUGCGUAUUCUUUUUGCCAACCUUAACAUGGAACAAAAGGAAAAAUUAAAUGAGCUAAUUAGUGCUAUCCAUGAAAAGGAUGAUCUCUUGGACUCCCAAGAGGACUUCCUAAUCAAGGAAAACAAGAAACAUGUUAAGGUUAAAAAUGCUUAUGCUCUAGAAAGAGAAAAAUGUGAAAAAUUGUCUAGUGAGCUAAGCACUUGCCAUGAGAUUUUAGACAACCUUAGAAAUGAAAAUGCUAAUUUGUUAGCUAAGGUUGAUUCUCAUGUUUGCAUUGAUCCUAGAAAUAAUGAUGUUGAUUUGCUUGCUAGGAUUGAUGAAUUGAAUGCUUCCAUCGCUAGCCUUAGAAAUGAGAAUGAGAAAUUAAUUGCUAAGGCUAAAAAUUUUGAUGUUUGCAAUACUACUAUUUCUGACCUUAGAACUAAGAAUGAUUUGUUGCAUGCUAAGGUUAUUGAAUUAAAGUCUUGCAAACCCUCUACAUCUACUAUUGAGCAUGUGUCCAUUUGCACUAGAUGUAGAGAUAUUAAUGUUGAUGCUAUCCAUGAUCACCUUGCCUUAAUUAAAAAACAAAAUGAUCACAUAGCACAACUUAAUGCUAAAAUUAGAGAGCAUGACUUAGAAAAUGAAAAAUUUAAAUUUGCUAGAAGCAUGCUCUAUAAUGGGAGACGCCCGGGCAUUAAGGACGGCAUUGGCUUUCAAAAGGGAGACAAUGUCAAAAUUAAUGCCCCUCCUAAGAACUUGUCUAACUUUGUUAAGGGCAAGGCUCCCAUGCCUCAGGAUAACGAGGGUUACAUUUUGUACCCUGCCGGGUAUCCUGAGAAUAAGAUUAAGAAAAUUCAUUCUAGGAAGUCUCACUCUGGCCCUAAUUAUGCUUUUAUGUAUAAGGGUGAGACAUCUAGAUCUAGGCAACCAACCCAUGCCAAGUUGCCUAGAAAGAAAACUAUUAAUGCAUCAAAUGAUCAUGACAUUUCAUUUAAAACUUUUGAUGCAUCUUAUGUGUUGACUAGUAAAUCUGGCAAGGUAGUUGCCAAAAUUGUUGGGGGCAAACACACGGGCUCCAAAACGUGUGUUUGGGUACCCAAAGUUCUUGUAUCUAAUGCUAAAGGACCCAAAACCGUUUGGGUACCUAAAACAAAGAACUAAACUUGUUUUGUAGGUUUAUGCAUCCGGGGGCUCAAGUUGGAUACUCGACAGUGGGUGCACAAACCAUAUGACAGGGGAGAAAAGGAUGUUCUCCUCAUAUGAGAAAAACCAAGAUCCCCAACGAGCUAUCACAUUCGGGGAUGGAAAUCAAGGUUUGGUCAAAGGUUUGGGUAAAAUUGCUAUAUCACCUGACCAUACUAUUUCCAAUGUUUUUCUUGUAGAUUCUUUAGAUUACAAUUUGCUUUCCGUAUCCCAAUUAUGUAAAAUGGGCUACAACUGUCUUUUUACUGAUACUGGUGUUACUGUCUUUAGAAGAAGUGACGAUUCAAUAGCUUUUAAGGGAGUGUUAGAGGGUCAGCUAUACUUGGUAGAUUUUGAAAGAGCUGAACUCGACACUUGCUUAGUUGCUAAGACUAACUUGGGUUGGCUUUGGCACCGCCGACUAGCCCAUGUUGGAAUGAAGAAUCUUCACAAGCUUCUAAAGGGAGAACACAUUUUAGGACUAACAAAUGUUCAUUUUGAGAAAGACAGGAUUUGUAGCGCAUGUCAAGCAGGGAAGCAAGUUGGCACUCAUCAUCCACACAAAAACAUAAUGACUACCGACAGGCCACUGGAGCUUCUACACAUGGAUUUGUUCGGCCCGAUCGCUUACAUAAGCAUCGGCGGUAGUAAGUAUUGUCUCGUAAUUGUGGAUGAUUAUUCUCGCUUCACUUGGGUAUUCUUUUUACAGGAAAAAUCUCAAACCCAAGAGACCUUAAAGGGAUUCUUGAGACGAGCUCAAAAUGAGUUCGGCUUAAGGAUCAAGAAAAUAAGAAGCGACAACGGGACGGAGUUCAAGAACUCUCAAAUUGAAGGCUUCCUUGAGGAGGAGGGCAUCAAGCAUGAGUUCUCUUCUCCCUACACGCCACAACAAAACGGUGUAGUGGAGAGGAAGAAUCGAACUCUAUUGGACAUGGCAAGAACCAUGCUUGAUGAGUACAAGACACCGGACCGGUUUUGGGCCGAAGCGGUCAACACCGCCUGCUACGCCAUCAACCGGUUAUAUCUUCACCGAAUCCUCAAGAAGACAUCAUAUGAACUCCUAACCGGUAAAAAGCCCAACAUUUCAUAUUUUAGAGUUUUUGGUAGCAAAUGCUUCAUUCUUAUUAAAAGAGGUAGAAAAUCUAAAUUUGCUCCUAAAACUGUAGAAGGCUUUUUACUUGGUUAUGAUUCAAACACAAGGGCAUAUAGGGUCUUUAACAAGUCCACUGGACUAGUUGAAGUCUCUUGUGACGUUGUGUUUGAUGAGACUAACGGCUCUCAAGUAGAGCAAGUUGAUCUUGAUGAGAUAGGUGAAGAACAGGCUCCAUGCAUCGCACUAAGGAACAUGUCCAUCGGGGAUGUGUGUCCUAAGGAAUCCGAAGAGCCUCCAAGUACACAAGAUCAACCAUCCUCCUCCAUGCAAACAUCUCCACCAACUCAAAAUGAGGAUGAGGCUCAAAAUGAUGAAGAGCAAAAUCAAGAGGACGAGCCACCUCAAAAUGAUAGCAAUGAUCAAGGGGGAGAUACAAAUGAUCAAGAAAAGGAGGAUGAGGAAGAAUCAAGACCGCCACACCCAAGAGUCCACCAAGCAAUCCAACGAGAUCACCCCGUCGACACAAUCCUCGGCGACAUUCAUAAGGGGGUAACUACUCGAUCUCGGGUUGCUCAUUUUUGUGAACAUUACUCUUUUGUUUCCUCUAUUGAGCCACACAGGGUAGAGGAAGCUCUCCAAGAUUCGGAUUGGGUGGUGGCGAUGCAAGAGGAGCUCAACAAUUUCACGAGGAACGAGGUAUGGCAUUUAGUUCCGCGUCCUAACCAAAAUGUUGUAGGAACCAAAUGGGUCUUCCGCAACAAGCAAGAUGAGCAUGGUGUGGUGACAAGGAACAAAGCUCGACUCGUGGCCAAAGGGUAUUCACAAGUCGAAGGUUUGGAUUUUGGUGAAACCUAUGCACCCGUAGCUAGGCUUGAGUCAAUUCGCAUAUUAUUGGCCUAUGCUACUUACCAUGGCUUUAAGCUCUAUCAAAUGGACGUAAAAAGUGCCUUCCUCAACGGACCAAUCAAGGAAGAGGUCUAUGUUGAGCAACCUCCCGGCUUUGAAGACAGUGAGUAUCCUAAUCAUGUCUAUAGGCUCUCUAAGGCGCUUUAUGGGCUCAAGCAAGCCCCAAGAGCGUGGUAUGAAUGCCUUAGAGAUUUCCUUAUUGCUAAUGGCUUCAAAGUCGGCAAGGCCGAUCCUACACUCUUUACUAAAACUCUUGAAAAUGACUUGUUUGUAUGCCAAAUUUAUGUUGAUGAUAUUAUAUUUGGGUCUACUAACGAGUCUACAUGUGAAGAGUUUAGUAGGAUCAUGACACAGAAAUUCGAGAUGUCGAUGAUGGGGGAGUUGAAGUAUUUUCUAGGAUUCCAAGUCAAGCAACUCCAAGAGGGCACCUUCAUUUGCCAAACAAAGUACACUCAAGACAUUCUAACCAAGUUUGGGAUGAAGGAUGCCAAACCCAUCAAGACACCCAUGGGAACUAAUGGGCAUCUCGACCUCGACACGGGAGGUAAGUCCGUGGAUCAAAAGGUAUACCGGUCGAUGAUUGGUUCAUUGCUUUAUUUAUGUGCAUCUCGACCGGACAUUAUGCUUUCCGUUUGCAUGUGUGCAAGAUUCCAAUCCGACCCUAAGGAAUCACACCUUACGGCCGUAAAACGAAUCUUGAGAUAUUUGGCUUAUACACCUAAGUUUGGGCUUUGGUACCCUCGGGGAUCCACAUUUGAUUUACUUGGUUAUUCGGAUGCCGAUUGGGCGGGGUGCAAAAUCAAUAGGAAGAGCACAUCGGGGACUUGCCAGUUCCUGGGAAGAUCCUUGGUGUCUUGGGCUUCAAAGAAGCAAAAUUCGGUCGCUCUUUCCACCGCCGAAGCCGAGUACAUUGCCGCAGGACAUUGUUGCGCGCAAUUGCUUUGGAUGAGGCAAACCCUGCGGGACUACGGUUACAAAUUAACCAAAGUCCCUUUGCUAUGUGAUAAUGAGAGUGCAAUUAAGAUGGCCGACAAUCCCGUCGAGCAUAGCCGCACUAAGCACAUAGCCAUUCGGUAUCAUUUUCUUAGGGAUCACCAACAAAAGGGGGAUAUCGAGAUUUCUUACAUUAAUACUAAAGAUCAAUUAGCCGAUAUCUUUACCAAGCCACUUGAUGAACAAUCCUUUACCAGACUUAGGCAUGAGCUCAAUAUUCUUGAUUCUAGAAAUUUCUUUUGCUAGCUUGCACACAUAGCUCAUUUAAAUACCUUUGAUCAUAUCUCUUUUAUAUGCUAUGACUAAUGUGUUUUCAAGUCGAUUUCAAACCAAGUCAUAGGAAUAUUGAAAGGGAACUGGAGUCUUCGGCGAAGACAAAGGCUUCCACUCCGUAACUCAUGCUUCGCCAUCACUCCGAGCAACUCUCUAUUCCUUGGGGAGAAAUGAGCAUCAAAGAAAAGGACUUCAUCCUUCGAGGAGAGAGUAAAAGCUCAAAAGCAAAAAGACCGGAUUUCGUCUCUGGUAUAAUCUUAACUCAUUUAUUUAUGACCAAAGGAGAUGAUCGCGCUUCGAGGGCUCUAAUGAUUCCGUUUUUGGCGAUUCAUGCCAAAAAGGGGGAGAAAUGAGCCCAAAGCAAAAGGACCGCACCACCACCACCAAAUUCAAAAACUUAGUGCUUUCCAAAAGUCUUUAUCAUUUGGUAUCCUAUUGUGUUCAAAAGGGGGAGAAAGUAGUAUUUCAAAAAUGGUAUAUCAAAACCCUCUUGAACACUAAGAGGUGGAUCUCUUUUAGGGGGAGUUUUGUUUAGUCAAAGGAAAAGCAUUUGAAACAGGGGGAGGAAAUUUCAAAUCUUAAAAAUGCUUUUGCAAAUUCUUAUUUAUUUACCUUUGACUAUUUGCAAAAGAUCUAUGAAAAGGAUUUACAAAAGGUUUUGCAAAAACAAAACAAGUGGUGCAAACGUGGUCCAAAAUGUUAUAUAAGAAAGAAACAAUUCAUGCAUAUUUUGCAAGUAUUUAUAUUGGCUCAAUUCCAAGCAACCUUUGCACUUAUAUUAUGCAAACUAGUUCAAUUAUGCACUUCCAUAUUUGCUUUGGUUUGUGUUGGCAUCAAUCACCAAAAAGGGGGAGAUUGAAAGGGAAUUAGGCUUACACCUAGUUCCUAAAUAGUUUUGGUGGUUGAAUCGCCCAACACAAAUAAAUUGGACUAACUAGUUUGCUCUAGAUUACAUGUUCUACAGGUGCCAAAGGUUCAUCUACAACUAUACUAAUUCGACUGUCCGGAAUACCGUAGAUUAUUCCGGACAGGAGAAGCUUUUUGGAAAAACAGGCCAAGCGCGGACCGUCCGGGCUCUUGCGGCGGACCGUCCGCGACAUCGGGAUACCCCUCGGACAGAACCAAUGCAAAAACACAAGUUUCCACUACAGACUGUCCGGAGGAAAAGCGAAGACCGUCCGAGCCCUCGCGCGGACCGUCCGGCCUCAGGCGCGGACCGUCCGGUCGGUAAGGAACCGAAAAACCCGAAGGUGACGGGUUCGGAGAAAUGAAUUUUAGCGGCCUCGCGGACCGUCCGGGCCAGGCGGGCGGACCGUCCGCGACUGGCUCCGUCUGACAUCUGACGUCGCAUUAAAUGCAAUAUAGCCGUUGAUAUAGCCGUUACUGCUGACCGUUGCAUCUUCAGCCGUUGAUCUACAGGGGCGGACCGUCCGCACCAGGAGGGCGGACCGUCCGCGCUCAGCAGAAAGGCCCAACGGCUAGGAAGUGGUUGGUGGCUAUAAAUACAACCCCAACCACCUCCAUUCACUUUAUCCAAGCAUUCCAACCUUCAACAUUCAAUACAAGAGCUAGCAAUCCAUUCCAAGACACUUUCAAAGCCUCCAUCUCUCCAAGUUUCACUAUUGAGAUAAGAGAUCAUUAGUGAUUAGUGGCUUGAGAGAGAAAGCGAUCCGUGUGUCAUUUGUCGCUCUUGUUGCUUGGCUUUUUAAUCGUGCUUUCUUGAUUCUUUCAUUGCGAUCAAACUCACUUGUAAUUAAGGCAAGAGACACCAAUCUUGUGGUGAUCCUUGUAGGAACUUUGUGUUCCAAGUGAUUGAGAAAAGAAAGCUCACUCGAUCCGUGGAUCGUUUGAGAGAGGGAAGGGUUGAAAGAGACCCGGCCUUUGUGGCCUCCUCAACGGGGAGUAGGUUUGCAAAAACCGAACCUCGGUAAAACAAAUCCGCGUGUCACCUCUCCAUUUGGUUGCGAUUUGUUUUGCGCCCUCUCUUGCGGACUCAUUUAUUAUUACUAACGCUAACCCCGGCUUGUAGUUGUGUUUAUAUUUGUAAAUUUCAGUUUCGCCCUAUUCACCCCCCCUCUAGGCGACUAUCACAGCACCUCUCUAUUGUUCUCCAAAUACACGUCUUGGCAGGGAGAGUGUGUAUGCGGAGAACAACAGGUAGCUGCUAUUGAAACUCUAUCUCGGAUCGAAGUAGAGCAUGGAAACUAACCUCAUCUACGCAAUUGCGCGCUGUCCAAAAAAUGUGGACAAUUUGAAAUAGAUAUUGUUAUAGAUAUGCAAAUAUCUUCAUAGUUCCAACUAUAUCUCUUUUGAACUGGAGAUGCCUAGCUGAGUUACGUGAUCUAUGACCAUGAUACAAAAAUAUAGGUUAUACCUAGGGUGGCGGUGAAGUCAGGCUAGCGGUGAUAUGGCGGGUUGGUGUAGUGGUGACAUAACGUGGUGCAGGAAGACUCACAGCGGCUAGGAAGACCUCUGCAAAAAAGAAACACCAGUCUAUCAACACAAAAUUUCGACAACACCUCCCCUGCAUAGUGAGGUUUCCAAAACCUGCAAAUAAAACUAACAACGUGAUGGCUGACAUGCACAUAUACAUGAUCUCAUGUGAACUUAUAUAAUAUAUAGUUUGCAUGUUGUUGAACAUCAAAUUUGUUGGUCAAAGUUAGGAGAGGUUAACUUAGGACAAACCUAUUAAUCCAAUUACAAUGUUAAUUUAGCCAUAACAAUAACAAUACUGGCUCCGAUUCACAAUAACAAUAACAAUUUAUAAUAUAGCCAUUACAAUUUGGUGAGCAACCCAAUUACAUUGUUAAUUUAAAAUUUUUCAAAUGCACAAUAACAAUCUCAACUUGUAAUUUAGCCAUUCAAUCAACAUAUAUAGGAGUUCAAAUCCACAAUAAUAAUCUCAACUUGCAAUUUAGCCUUUCAAUCAACAUAUAUAUGAGUACACCAAGAAUGUGCUUGAAUUAACUAAGUGGGGGGCUUGUUGGGCCAGCGGCGGUAGGGAUGACCGGAGCCGACAAUGGCAUGUAGCGAGCGUGGACCGGGGAGGUGGUCUGAGGCGGUGAGGAUCACCAGAGCUAUGGCUGGCGUGCUGAAGUAGAGGAGAGAAGAGUGAAGUCAAGAAGGUCGAUCAUUCAGGGUUUUGUACAACCGCUUUGCUAAGUACCCAAGAUCUGGCACUCAGCAAAGAAGUUUUUAUUAUUUAAAAAAUUUGUGUCGAGCCCUUUGUCGAGUGCCCCUGAUAGAAACUCGACAAAUAAUUUUUUAAAAAAAAACUGUGUCGAGUGCACCUAUGUAGGCACUCGGUAAAGGACCACUUUGCAGAGUGUCAUACUUGGACAGUUGGCAAAGCUUAUUUCUACUGUGUUCCUACAUACAUAGACCUACAUAUGAAUUUUUGGUAUUUUCUCAAAGUGAUUGCUAUACCUAUUAGAUUUAGCACAUUUAAUUAAAUUUCUUUAGAUAAUUCAAAUUUGAACUGCAAGCCUCUCGAAUAAUGGAAAAGAAUGAAUGUAAAAUUGAUAUUAAUGUUAUUGAGAACAUGUUGCGACCUUAUUCAAGAAUAGACUGGAAAUUUUGAACAUUAUGUUCACAAAACAUUUACACGAACUUGCGAUCUAGUUUUACAAAAAUGUAUAAUACCCAAACACAGUCAGAAAAUCAUGAAAUUUAUCGAGAUGUAAUGAUAUCAUGUGUAGAGUCUGUGAUAAAAAUUUGACACUUUUUCGUAAAAGUUGUCACGCACUAUAUGUACAAAUCUAGGCGGCCUUCGCAUGAAAUCAUGAAACUUAUACGAGGGCUGACUAGGUUUUUACACAUCGUACGUGACAACUUUCACGAAACAACAAGUUUCACGAAACACUGUCAAAUUUUUAUCACAGGCUCUACAUAUGAUAUCAUGACGUCUCAACAAGUUUCAUGAUUUCCUGACUUUGUUUGUGUUUUAUACUAUUUUAAAACAACUAGAUUGCAAGUUCGCGGUUAUGUAUUCGUAAACAUGGUGUUCGAAAUUUCUGGUCUGUUCCUAAAUUAGGCCAUAACUUGUGCUCGAGAACAUGAAUAUCAUUUUUGCAUUCAUUGUUUUCCCAUUUUUCGAGUGACUUGCAGUUAAAUUUGAAUUAGCCGAAUAAAUUCAAUUAAAUGAACUAAAUCUAAUAGAUAUAGCAAACACUUUGAUAAAUGUGCCAAAAUAGAACAUGUAGGUCCAGAGACUGUAGGAGUACACCACAAAAAAGUUAGGGUCAAAAAUAAAAAUAAGAUAAAUAAACUUUGUUGAGUGUCAAGAAAAGACCUUCGUCAAAAGAAUUCUUUGCCGAGUGUCCAAGCCUUUGUCGAGUGUCUUCUAUGGACACUGAGCACAGAUAACUGCCGUCAGCUGUCGUCAGCUUGCCGAGUGUGUUGUUGUGCCGAGAGUCGGACACUCAGCAAAAAUGUAUUUGUUGAGUGUAUUUUGUUGCUGUGUGUUUGGCUCUCUCUGAAUAGUAUGUUUACCGAGUGUUCUUAUUUGCCGAGUGGCCAAGAUUUGGCUCUCGGUAAAGCCAGAGCACUUGACAAAGAAGUCGUCUCCGGUAUCUAGUGUAACUAAGAGCUCAAAUGAAUUAUGAAGAAACAUUUAGACUCUGAUAUAUUACCACCAUGUGUGUGGGUCAGGGCGUGGUUUAAACGACCAAUCAAUUAACAAAAAUGGCUAACCACCAUGUAACCUUUAAAUAGUGCAUAAGUGGGCUAAACGGUUAUUACUCCAACAAUGGUACAAACAUAACAAUAAAAACAUUGCACCAAGCAUUAGAAAAGCAUGUAGCUUGUUUCUACAACCACCUCAACCUAUGGUUAAGCUUUUGAAGUUUUAGAGACUUAUCUGUAAAUAAUUAGAGGAGCUAGUAGCAAGAGGAAGAAGAAUAGUCGGAGCAGAGAGGAAGCCGCACGUUGCGAGUGGAAAAAAUCGCUUGAGCGCCUUCAACAUCAGCAGAGCACCCAUCGCGGCGUGGAUGCGCGCGCUCGGCUGUCUUGCACUCGCCGUCGCUGUCAUCGUCUGUCCGACUCCCUGAAUCCCCGAUUAAACUCAUCGACUCGCCAUCUCCGGCCCUCCCGUCCCCGACGAUCAAACCGAGUUAUUGAGCUGGACGUGGUGGCCGUACGUGGCCGUGUGGCCGGAUUCGCUCGCUAGCAGCUAGCUCGUGCAGGAGCAAGGAAGGAUCCGAGGUGGUCCUGCUCGGUCGGCGAAGACUCUUCUCUGCUCGUCCCCUUCCUCCCCGUGCAAUCUGCGCCGCGGACAAGCUCUCUGCCGUUAGACGCCGCAUCCGCCGUCUCUCUCAAGUCUCAACUCUCCGGCCGGCAGUUCAGCUCGUCGUGGCUUGUGAAACGAUAAGUUAAGAACGGACAACCGAAGGCAAAGGACAAGGGAAAAGAUAUUCAUCCAAGUUCCGGGCUUGGGAUUCGGCUGCGUCUGCUUGGCUUUGCUCCUUGCCUCCGGUGGUCUGCCCUCUCUCACGUGUGAUGUGAUGUGGAUGCCGCUUGUCGUGAUUGGCUUCCUUAAUAUUGCUCCUUGGCACCAUUCAGCAGAUGACAAAAAGUUCACACGACUUCCUCUUUUAAAUAGAUGUCAAAAUCCUUUGCGUGACUAUCUGGUUUAAUAGAGAUUCGUUAAAAUCCAGGCAUCUGAAUUUUAGUUAUAUUUUUUCACCCUACAUGCUUAUGAGCAUCUCCACUAGUUCCAAAAAUAAGUCCAUAAAUUUAAUUUAGGGUGUUAUUAACGAAAAAAAUUUAUCCUUCAACAGUUUCUUAAAUGAGAUUUUUAAAUAUAUCAACUUUCUAAAUAUCUCUAUUUAGCUCAUAAACUUAGGCACCUCUUGCUCACUCCCAAUAGUAUAUUUUAUGGGUCGUUAAAAUCAUUUCUUACCAUCGAGUCUGCAUCCGUGUACUAGUGAUGCACUCUGAAUGAUUUGAGACGUGGAAAGGAUGAAUUCAUGAUCCACGUUUGACAUGUCUACUCAUCCAAUUUUUUUGAGAAAACCGACCAAUCGUGAUUUAUACAGAAUGAAAAUAUUAAUAAAGAGAAGAACAAUGAUUAUUGAACUUUAUCAUGCAAUUGAAAUCAAAUUUGAAGUUACAAGUAAUAACUAGAAAAGCCGAGUUAACAUAAUUUCAAAAUAUUUAACAACCUAGAAUUGGGAACUGUUGGGGACUAAGGUUGAUUUUGUUCCCAAUAUGUAUUAGGACAAUUGUGAUUAUACACUUUUCUCAACUUGUAAUUGUGAUUUUACCUCUCAUUUUUCGAUUUUGUGAUUUUACCCCUCUAUUUUGAAAAUGAAGCCGCCGGUUGCCACUCCCCUUAACACCGUUAGUGGAAAUCGAAAUCAGUGAUUAAAAAUAAAAACUGAGGGGUAAAAUUACAAUUGCAAGGUGAAAGAAGGGUAUAAUCACAAUUAAUCCUAAAAAUACAAUUGAAAUUUUCAGGGUUAAUUGUGAUUAUACCCUUCUCUCACCUUACAAUUGUGAUUUUACCCUUCGUCUUUUUAUUUUUUAAUCACCAAUUCUGAUUUUCAUUAAUGGUGUUAAGGGGGAGGGGCAAACAAUGGCUCCGUUUUCAAAACAGAUGGAUAAAAUCACAAAUUUGAAAAACAAGCGCUAAAAUCGUAAUUGCAAUACCGAAGAAGGGUAUAAUUACAAUUGCCCCAUAUGUAUUUAGCAACAUGCUAAAUCUAUGUGUAGGGAGUCUUUUUUUAGGUAACUAGUGGAGAUGAACAUAGACUUGCUAAAAUGCAAGUGUCUUAAAUUUAGUUUUUUUCAGGCUAUAGUAAUUAUAUACAUUCUAUACUUAAAUUGUCGAUUAUUAUGUUAUAACUUUUAUAGAUAUAAUCAGUGAUUUUCAGUGAUGAUGGGAGCUUUUGUAUAUGAAAAUCAGUGUAUGCAACUGAGAGCACCUAGAGGGGGGUGAAUAGGUGAUCCUGUGAAAAUCAAAUACUAAUAGCCACAAAACUUUAGUUAUGAAAGUUAGUACGACUAAGUAGCUUGAAGCGAUCUCUUGCGAGCACAAUUAAUCACAGAGAGGAGUAAAGCAAGAGACACGCGAUUUUUAUCCCGUGGUUCGACCAAGUAACACUUGCCUACUUCCACGUUGUGGUGUUCCAAUGGACGAGGAUUGCACUCAACCCCUUUCAAGUGAUCCAAUGAUCAACUUGAAUACCACAGCUUUCUUCCUUAGUCUUUUCUUCCGUUUGCGAGGAAUCUCCACAACUUGGAGCCUCUCGCCCUUACAAUGAUGAUCACAAAAGAAGCACAGAAGUAAGGGAGGGGAGAGCAACGCACACAAGACUCAAAUCACAGCACAAUCACGCACACAACUCACGACUUGAGCUCGAAGAACAAUACACGGAGUUCGCAACUCAAAUAGAGCUCAAAUCGCUAUCACAAAGAAUCGAAUGCGUGAAGUUGGAGUCUUGGAGUCUUAAGAUGCUUAGUGAAUGAUUGGGUAGCUCAUCCAUGCGCCUAGGGGUCCCUUUUAUAGCCCCAAGGCAGCUAGGAGCCGUUGGAGGCCAACAAGGAAGGUCAUCUUUGCCUUCUGUCGAGUGGCGCACCGGAUAGUUCGGUGCGCCACCGGACAGUCACUGUAGACGGUCCGGUGCAGAUCUCUUUCCUUUUCUGGCGCAGAUGACCGUUGCAUCUUCGGGGCAGUUGGCACACCGGACAGUCCGGUGCCCCCUGUCGACCGUUGGCGCGGGCCACGCGUCGCCCGUGGAUUGCGUGGCCGACCGUUGCGCUGGCUACCGUUGGCUCAUCGGACAGUUCGGUGCACCACCGGACAGUCCGGUGAAUUAUAGCCGUGCGCCGCCAAAUUUUCCCGAGAGCGGCAUGUUCACCGGAGUCUAGCCUGGCGCACCAGACACUGUCUGGUGCACCACCGGACAGUCCGGUGUACCAGACUGAGCUGAACUUCGGCUGCACACAACUAGUCUUUUGCAAUCCAUUUUUUCUUCUUUUCUCUGUUUCUAACACUUAUACAAAUAUAUUAGUAUACAAAAACAAAUGUACUAAGUCUAGAAACAUACUUCAUGCCUUGAUUUGCACUUUUUCAAUCUUUGGCAUAUUUAGAACUUUAGAGAAUAUGUGUUGGACACUUAAUCACCAAAACAUUAUAGAAAUGAUCCAAAGGCACAUUUCCCUUUCAGCAACAUUACCACGCAGACAAUUUUUAAUAAAUCAAAAUUAAUUUCUAGAGUGGUUUUUGAAACCGCAACUAAGCCAUUGAUUAUAUAAAAGAACAACGCCGGUUUUGUAAAUGGCCGUGAAAAUGAUUUUUUUAUAUAGUUUUAAAAUUGUAAAAAAAAUUAGGAAAAUGAAUUUUCGUGUAUCUAGAGGCUACCAUAUAUACUCGCAAGGUUUAUUGUUUUAUGUUUUUUUGGCACAAAUGCGGCAGAAUUCGAACACAUGAUCCGUUACUCGUGUGCACCCCUCCUUCCACAAGACAGUCACAUAUAACUAGGAUCGGAGUGGUAAUAAAUUUAAAUAUUUUUUCACGGUUUAUUUGAGCCUUUAAUUAAUUUUAGUUAAAAAAUAAAUAGAAAUAGAGUUGGAUAUAAAUACAAUAAGAUUUUUAAAUUUUAUAGUGUAAAAUUUAGAGUCCAUUAACAUGAUGCUAUCGUUUUACCAUUGACAUAUGUGGGUCUUGUAUUAAAGGUUCUACCUUCAAAUUUAUCUCAAAUAAAAUUAAUUUCAACUACAAAGUUUUAGAUGUCAAUGAGUAAUAUAACUUUUGCGCAGCACAUGUUUCCAACCAAAGGUUGUUUGAAAAAAAUCUAAAAUUUGAAUACCAAAAAGUGAAAUCAUAAAAAUGUAUAGUUGGACCCCAAAACAAUCUUAAAUACAAAAAAAUCAAGUACAGAGUUAUAAAUAUCAUUGAAUUCUAUAUUUUUUUAAUAAAGUUUACCUUUAUUUGAUUUCAUUUGAAACAGUGAUUCUUUUGGCAGCUAUUUUUAAGAAAUCACUUAUUUUUAGGAACGAUUGACAUAAGGAAUCACUCUAAAAGUAUAUUUUUAGGGGUUUUAGGUCGGUUUCUUAAGUCCUGCUCUUAAAAAUAAAUAGACUUUAGGGAAGUUUUUUUUUAAGUUAACCGUCCUGACAAAAAUGUGAGAGUUGUAGAAAUCAUCUGUAGAGUGCAGCUUGCUAAUGCAAGCUUUUUUGUAUGAAAACAUGAGAGAACUUUAUUUAUGUUAAUGGAUCUCCGUUAUGCUUUUUUGGGGUUGUUAAUAAACAUAUGCAGGUAUCCUCUCCUAGGCCUGGCAGCACAAGGGGGGACUGAAAGACGGAACGAGGAGAAAGGUCGUUCCUCGAAGGUCUGACUUAUGUGACAAGGGCGAAUUUAGCUAUGUUUUUCGGAGUCGGCCCGCCUCGAUAAAAUUUCUAAUUUCUUUUGCAAAACACUGUUACAAUUUAAGGAAAUUUAUAUCAUAUAGCAAGAUUAACACUGCUGGCACCGACAAUAUUCUUAACUAGAUUCUUGAGAUGCGACUGUUACAGCCGCACCCGAUCGAGCCAGUGUUUAUUGGUAUAUAAUUAAAGACCAUUUUUUCUCUAUGUUGUAGCUGCCCUAUGUGCCUCAUGCAGGCUGACUUCUCUCCCCUCUCGAACUGUCACUUGUCUGACCUGGUAACAGUUUGUCUCCCUAGAGAAGCAAAGCCUUGAUCAAUUCCAAGUCGUCGGCCCGGAACCCAAGAAAAUUAAGUAAAAGUAUUUGCAGGUCUGGCAAUACCGCAAUACAUGCAUGCGCAACAAUCAAUGUGCCUUCGGAAGGCAAGGCAUGGAAAUUGCAAAACACUAGGUAGCUUUGCUAUAUAUCCACCACCACCAUACAGGAGACAAUCCACACAUACAACACAGAAAGAGUGUAUAAAAUAUUGUUCUAUAAUCGAAAAUAUAGUCAAGUCACACGCGAGCUAUAGUCCUUCCAUAUCUCGGAACACUCGAGCUGCUACUUUGCCUUGAUCUCUAAGUUUCCAUGCCACUUUUGGGCCCGAGUCGGCUGGUUGGUCCAUGAGUUUAGCUGCCCGACCUACUUAGGCCCUUCAAUGGUCCAUGCUCCGGAUUCGCGCCAUGAGGAUCCAGGGGAUAUCUGUCCUCCAUAUUCUCCACCCUAUCCUAUAUAUUCUUGAAUCUAGAUGGAGGAGAACAUGUGUCUUUGACCUAGGAGUUCUAGGAUUACGACGAGAUUUAGGUCUGUGAUCAAUUAGUCGGUUAUGAAGAGUUUACUGGUGGAUUGAAUAAAUAUCGUGCUUAUGUAAUAAAUACUCUGUUUUGAUAUUAAUAAAGCAUUGUGUUUUGAUAUAAUCCACUGUAUGACAUCGCUACACAUGUGAUUCUUGACCUAGUUACAUGUUUAGUGGACAUUCGAUUUUGUCCUUAAAAUUGGGUGUUGCAGCUAAACAUAAUCAAUUCAAGUUAUAUAAUCUAUUUCAACCUGUAUAUACUAGAGAUUAGGAGUAAUUAUGACAAACGUAUACCAAAUCCCUCCAACAGUGGUAUCAACAACUAGAGACGAGUUAGUUUGUUAGUACUCGAUAAAUACAUUUACUCAUUACAUAUAGUGUUAUAACUUGUAAUUUUUCCUCUAAUAAUGAAUUUUGCUCUUUAUUACAUGAUGAAUGGGCUAAUGACUUUAUCAACAACAUAUUCGCUUAUGUAAGUAAUAGACGAAAUGUCGCAGAACCUCCCAAGUUAUCGGGCCCACAUGCACCUGUCCUUGUCUCAAAGACCUCAGACAGCUAUGCAUGUGCACCAAACAACUUAACAGGAUCUGUCCGAGUGCCCCGAGGACCCCGGAUAAACGACUUACCGCCAAGAUCGCAAGAUUAAGUAAACACAAAUCACACACCAAACAUUUGCAGCGGAAAUAAAUUCUUUAUUGCAAAAUGAUUACAUGUUACAAUAAGUUUACAUUAGACAGUUAUCGAAGUGAUUACAAAAGAAAGUGAUUCAAAAGAAUUACAAUUUAAAAUGUAUAAAAUAUUUAUAGGUUUUAAAAUACAUGCUAGCUUAAGUGACAAUCCUCAAUAAAGAAGCUAAAGAUGGGAUAUACUUAUAUAAGAAGGCCGAGCCCACCGGCACUUAGCACCAUCCACAACAGAACAAAAUUAUAACCUGAAAAACAACAGGGAAUAAAACCCUGAGUACACAAUUACUCAGCAAGACUUACCCGACUAAAGAAAAGACUCUCAAGGGUAUGCUGGUUUAUUGGGAAUCAAGGUAAAGCUUAUCAAAUUUCAAAGACUCAUUUUGCAGAAGAGCUUACUAGUAGUGGAUCCUUAUGCCAAAAUUUUACUUCACAAGUUAAGUACUUUUCCUGAAUCUAGAUUUGCCUAAUCUAGAGCAUUCACUUGUCCUAUACUAGCUUCAUUUUAGCAGCUUUAGUUUCACUUGUUAUCUACGAUGCAGGGCAGUGAUCCAGUCUUCAUAUCCGAGAAGUAACGGCGAUCCGAAUCGAUUAAUACUCAGCUGAGGAUCUCCAACCACACGACAUAUGUAGCACUUAACCCUUGCAUAUGUCAACUCGCCACCGGGUUUCUCAAGACCAGAACGGGUUCACGCGACCCGAGAGCACAGCACUCCACCGUCCAGCCAUGGGCCUGGUUGGUACACGUUACUUUCGCAUGGUGCCCGCCAUGUUUCCGAGAGUACAGCACCCCACCUUCCAGUCUCUUGCCACGGAGGGUACAAGCUACUCUCGCCAUCUCUCCACUCCCAGUGCGUGCGAGCUGUUCUGGUAUUGGUCCGACCGAGGCAAAGCUUACCCAUGAUGAGGCAUGUGGCCAGUUAAAGGGUCCUAGAUCAGCAAGCCUACUUUCGGUACGGUCCUUAGUCGACACAGACGGGCGACUUUUCCUGCUCAACGUCUGGUCUCAUCUUAUUAUUUAACACCCAAACCAUGUACCUGACAGAGGUACAAUACUCGAAUAAUGAAUUCAUCAUCGCGAGUGAUGCCUUCAUUAUUGCAAGUUCCUUUUUCAUAAAACCCAUAUCCAGUGUUGCACAACAUUCUUUUUAAAAGAACAACUUUUAGUUUUUCUAAGCAGGGCUAAGCCUCAUUAGUUCUCUUUAUAAAAUAGGAAUCAAGGAAGAUAAUCAAAUUCCAAGGAAUGGCAAUGCAUCAAUUGUUUCAUCACUCAACUCCUAUCACCUAAUGCAGCAUAUAAGUGAUAAAAGUUUUAAAACAACAAGGAGGUGGCAAAUGCACCGGGGCUUGCCUGGGAUAAACACUAUGUUAGUGUUGUUAAUUGACGACCACUUGGUGAGCAUCUUCCAUCCUGACACUUGGUUGAUUCAUCCAUUUUAGCUUCGUCCAUCAGCAUCACUUGGAGAUCAAUUCCACUCGUCUUCCAUAGCACGUGAUCAAUUAACGUACCUAAAUGAUAUGCAUAAUGCAUAUGAGAGAAUAAUCAUAAACAAUACAAGAUAAUAACACUAUGUCGAAGAGGGUAAUAUAUUGCUAGUAAGGCAUUAGAACUCCUAGGCAAACACUAGAUACCUUUGAAUUAACAACAAUCAUGAUCCUCGAGCUAGAGGGACCUAAUUCAAACAUUUGGAAAUCAUAACUAAACACAAGCCUUAAGCUAAAGCAUAACAUCGAUAGGUUAUUACCCUUAGACUUGUCACUUUUUAACACUCAAAACUUGGAAAAGGUGAUAGAACACAUGUAACUAACUUUCUAAUUCAAUAAGGUCUGGCACAAGCAUCAAGAAAGCAGUACAUCUCAAAGGAUUACUAGAACUUAGGUUCACUAGUGAUAGUCACCUCAGACUUAGAUUAAAGAUAUGAGUAGCUUAACUAGUUUCCUAAACUUCUUUCCCAAAUUAACUUAUUGUAACACACCAACUAAUAAAUCAUCACAUUUCUAUUCAAUCACACAAGUAGAACACUUAUCACACAACAUAAAGUUCCAUAGAAUUUACAUCCUCAACAAUUAAAGAUCUAAAGCAUACAAGAUGAAAUAUAAUAAGUGUUCCAUACUUUCCUUAGAUUACUGAGUAUAGCACCUUAAGCUUGGGACACUUGUUCACUUGAAUUUAGCAAGUACAAGACUUCAUCAAUCAAGAACUAACUAAAUUUACUUAGUCAAACAAUAAGAAGGAAAUGAAUUAAUCAAAUAUAACAAGGCAUUUCGAUAAACACUUCAUAUGCAACAAGUUGUCAUCAAUCAAGGGUAAAAAAAAUGACCUAGCCAAACAAGAGCAACUUCAAGAAAUCCACUUAAUGCUUGCUGAUUUUGGACAGCAAAACAGCAGCUAGUUGUUUUAUUCAUAACUUACACAAUAUUCAUCCAAAAAUAGUAAACUAAGACUUUUUGGAAAUCUUAUAAAGUCCUCUACAAUUUUGGUAUUAUCAUCACAAUGAGAUUCGACAUUUAAAAAUGUCAAACAGUACGAAAUGCAAUUUCUGUCCAGAUUUGGACAGAAUUCGACUGCUUACUUCAUUAAUUCAUAACCGGAGUUUCAGAAAUCCAAAUCAGGUGAUCCUAGACUUUUUAGAAAGAUAAUAGAAUUGUCUAUAAUUUAUUUUUAAACAUCUCCAGUUAAUUCAAUGCGUAGAAAGGUCAGUUAAUAUAAACAAACAUUGCUGUCCAGAUUUGGACAGAUUCAGACUCUAUAGUUUGAACAACUGUAACUUGGUCUCUAGACCACCAAAAAUGGUGCUCCAAAAUUUGUUGGAAAGCUUAAGCAAUGUACUACAAUUAUCCUAUAAUUAUUAAGAGCUUAUUCUCAGUUUAACUUGGGCAAACAAGGUCAUUUUCGAAAUCUGUACAGAAUCUGGACAGAUUCUGAAACUGGACUUGGAAAAUUCAUAACUCCUAAACUGCUAAGCCUAUGGUCAUGAAAUUUUUACACAAGCAAGAUAAAGCAAUUAUCUACAAGUUUUAUAUGUAACACUUCUACAGAAGACACGGUUUACUUCCCUAUACAAGCUACGCAACUAAAACUGGACACACAGUCCAAAGAGCAAACAUUUCAAUUUAGUUCAUAUUUGGCUUCUGCAAUUAUUAUGUUCUUGACACUUACUAAGAUAAGUCGUUAAUGUUACCAUACAUUAGGAUUUCAUCCAAUAAACACUAAUAACCCUUAUCGGCCAAGAGCUAUAAAUAACAAGCAUAUUCUUUUUCUAAACAUCACCACAGAACAACACAUCUCAAACAUCGAAUCUAUUAAAUCGUACUCGACAAUCACAUAAACCAAAUUGUAGCCUCCUUUCUAAACCAACCAGGUUUAGCCCAAGUAUCAAGAAAGCAAUGAACCAUACAUAUAAACAAAUGGACAUUCCAACGCACGUCUGUCUCGCAUACAAUUGCAUGAACGCAAAAGAGUAGAUAAUUCUAAUUCUAAGCCACAAGUACCAUGGCCGGUAUAUCUACCCUAUCUACUAAUAAAUCGAUGAGUAGUAGUAACAAAUCAGAGUACUAUUAUUAAUCCGCCGUGAAUUCCACAAAACAAAUACGACUCAGGCUCCGGCCUUCUACCAAACACUUUAUUUAAUCGAUCAUAACCAAAAUACGCAUGCUACAAACAAGAUGGUCAUCGUGACCAAUGCAUCCAUGCAAACCAACCAUUUAUCCGACUAACGAAAACAACAUAUCGACUUACCACGACUAAACUUGACGCGGUGUCCGCGAACAUGGCGAUAGUUUCGGUUCAGUCUUUCUAUUUGAUACCUAACAAGUGUCACGCGUCUUCGAAGGAGGACUGCAAGAAACGACAUCGAUUUAUAGGUUUGGCAUUACAUCAAACACAGGGCAUGCAGGGACAGCGAGAUCUCACCGGGGUUUAACGACACUGCAACCAGGCUGCCCAAAAAUCACGGAGUCGACGACGUGCUGUUCGACCACUACCGAGGCGUUGUUGCUGACUUCAAGUGAGGAGAGGGCGCGGCCAUGGGAGUAGGGCUGGCGUUGGGAGGUAGGAGACGGGUGGCCUGACGGCACCAUGGCUGGGGGCAGGGGCGACCAGCGUGCAGGAAACAGGUGCUGCGGCGGCCAUGGAAAGAAACUCGGCCAGGGGCUCAGCGGGAGCACCUGGGAAGGGGCCUGGACGAGCAGAAUCUUGGAGCUCGCGUCCAUGGCAGAGGAAGGGAAGGGGAGGAGACGCCAUGGCUACCUAGGCGUCGAGAGGAGCAGAGGCACCACGAGCUGGAAACGAGAGGGUACCGGAGGGAAAGCAGGAGGCCAGAUCCGACCGCGGCUAGGAGAGCACGCCGGCGAGGCUUGGUGGAGGUGAAACGGUGUUGAGGCCGAUCCCAGUGAGCGCUGACCACCAGCGAACAGAGGCCCGACGUCGAGAUUGGCCGGCACGAGCUGGGAGAGGGCGCCUGUGCCAGAACAGGAUGAGGACCAGAGGGCGCAUCCAUGCGAGCAGGAGGCUUGGUGGCUUGCAGUUGGAGGCGAUGGCGGAUGUGUGAUGAACGUUGAGCACGUGAGAGGCAGAGGUAAGCUACCGACGAUCGAAGCUGGGAGAUCAAGCACCUUCGUUGGCUUAAAAGUGAGCGACGACUGAGAAAAAAUGGCAGCUGGUCGUAAGGGAGAGGCCUGGUGUGGCUUCUAGAGGCCACAUAGCUGCAUGGGCUGAUGACGUGCAGUGAGGAGGAUUUUCUAGAAAUGAUCUAUAUUCUGGAUAAAAGGGAGAUGAAAAUGGUUGAUAAAUCAAAGAAGAAGCUAGUGCGUGGAGGGGAUAAAGCUUACGGUACAAAAUGCUUGAACGGCGGUGAGAUAGUAAAAGAGGAUUUUCCUUUAUUAUUAAAGAUAAAGAAACAUAUUUUUACACGUAUUUUGAUUUUAGGAUUGAGUUUGAGAGGUUUAAAUGGACCAAAUUAAAAUGCUACACGGGCUAAGAUACGAUUUUCCACAUCUAUGAAUAGAGAAGCAAUUAUUGGGGUUUGGUUCUGAGUACCCUGGUCUCGUUUAUUUUGUAUCAAAAACCUUAGUCAUCGAAUUCUAAUAAAUUUAUUUGGGACAAGAUCACAGUACUUAGUUGAUUUUUAAACAGGCACCAAACUCAAUAAUUUCCGAGACAACUAAACUCCAAACUUCAUGAAACAUUUUGGAUAGUUCUGAUAGACAGAGAUGAAUGCGAUAACGAAAUCAUGAUAAGCGAAAAUAAUCAGGACAUAGAUACUAUUAUUCUCAACGAUAUCCCUCGCUUAAGCCCAUACUCGCUGUCGAACGAGAAAUAAACACCUGGGGUGUUACAACCUUCCCCCCUUAAAAGAAUCUCGUCCCGAGAUUCAGAGCGAAAGACUUUUAAGAGUAUGGAAGCAUGUAACCCUGUCCAUAAUAGCGAUAGCAUAAGGCAGUUCCGAGUAGAGAUGAGUACUCCAAGAUGUUGGUUCCUCAAGUGGGUAUAGCAUGUAUCAUUUUAAGCUAAUUAGUGACGUCCAUCAAUAGAAACGACAUCUGCUAGAAGGACACAUAAGACUCCAUGUGUGCAGUUUGCUUUUUCUGAUAACAUGAGUCUGUUGAGAGAACAGUGGACAGGUGAAUAGCAAUUGUCUAGAUCGAAUAGGAUGCAACAUUUUUGGUAAGACACAAAGAAAGAGGUUCGUCGAUAAGUCGGCGUUGGAAUUCUAUGGCACAUGAGACAUAUGUGGAUGUCGAACAACCUCACGGUUGACUCGUGAUUAGGCCAAAGAAUCCAAGUCCAUGAAAGGUGAUAUAGAUUUGAGAAAAUCACCAGCAGAGGGAUCUAUAGAUGCUGACUUCGCAAUCAAUCCAUUUAUCAAGCACUAAUCAUGGCUUGACUUGAUCACACACGUUGGAAAACCAUACGUGAGGCGAUCGAGGCACGACUAGAGAUGUGGUUAGGCUGUUAACAGUUAGAUGAGGAUGGCAAAGUGCCUCGGCCAACAAGGUAAAGUUAAGAUACAUAUGCUCAUAAUAUAAUCCAAUAUGGCAUAAGAUCUGCGCAUAUGUUCAUAACCUUUACUUGAUCUUCACAAGAGUCUCUUCAAGAUAGGCUGAACUAAAGUGAGUUUAGACAACUCGAUAAAACGAUCUCUAAACCCAACCUUUGUUCAUUGGGCAGUUACAAGUUAGUAAAACCAACUUGUUGAACUACUUUUGACAUUGAGCAAGUCCUCUUAUUACCCAUCGACAAUUUAAUGGUCGAGAGUUCACGUUUGCUAGCAGGAGGCCAUGUAUUUAGAUAAAGAUCCAUUCAGUCAGGUUGUUCAUCCAUUUCUUCAUGCAAGAUGAAUUGAUUUGGUUCAAGAAUACAUGGAUUAAAUAAGAGAGCGAAAGAACAAACUCCUGCAAUCUCAACAGCAUGAAAAAUCAAUCUCCAUUUGAGAACUAAUUAGUUGUCUCUCAACAUUAAAAAGCUUCAAGGCUUCACCUUUACACAAAGGAUGUAAAAGGAACUUGUAUGAGUAGUCACUACCCAGAUCAAAAGAAAAGAGACCACACAUGAAAGUGGUAUAUCCGUUUGAUCCAAUAGAGAUGAUAGAUGUUGCUUGAUCACUUGACAAACAACAUAGAAAUUGUUUCAAGGGAGGAGUCCACGGAAGAUCACACAUCAGUGUAGUUCCACAAUGGAUCAUGACUAGAGACCUUGAUACCAGCAUCCGACGAGUAGCACAUCCCUGUGUGCGCAUUCACAGGAGGCUCUCAGUUUCGCUGCGGCACCAUAAGUCCUUAAUCGUGACACCACUACCGAACUGACACCAAUAACAAUCUCACGUAGCAAAAAUAGAUUGUGCCAAGAUAACGCAUUGACAUAGUCUCAUAAUGGAUUACAACUACUAACUGUGAUACCAGCGCGUGCCGAGUAGCACAACCAUGUGUGCGCACCCACAGAAGGCCCUCGGUUUCGUCACGGCACCACCAGUUUUAGUCAUAACACCAUUAUCAGACAUAACCAAUAAGAAAUCUUGCAUGGCACAGAUAGACUAAGCAAGGGUGACUAUAUACAAAAGAGACUCCCCUAGUCAAAAUGGCUACAAGUAGAGAGCCAAUAGAUCAUGGCCCGAUGAAGUGAGCAAGGCAUGGCCAUAACCUAAACUUGAUGAAAGGAGUAUAAUGGGAGACUGUUAAUUCAGCCCCGAGCAUAUUUCUAUGUCCAUCGCAGAGAUUAUCAAGUCAACGAUUAGUGUCUGAUUAGAUAGAGGGGAAAACGAUCAGAAGAUUAAAUUGGUAUGCCUUUAAGAGAUAUGAGGAAAUCAAAGGCAUUAAAUUCAAGAAAAUUUAUUGGGCAUUCCUUUCCUAGAUUAUAUUGAGAAAGCAACAAUGUAAUUCUCAUGGAGAGGCAAAGCAGAAUAGAAACAUCAGCUUGCACCAACCAAACAAGGGUAUGGUUUAGGAUGAAAAUAUGACCAUAAGAGAGCUACAAGUGAAUUGUCAAGAUCACAGACCCGAGAUCCUUAUCUUUAAGUUUGAGUGCAACUUAGGUCCAACAAGGGGAUUACCUAAACAUCUAUUUAUAUGACCUUGAUCACAAAGUAACGAUGGAAAAAGUCAGACUCGUCCACGUUUGGAAGCUGGGGAAAAAUUUCAGGGAAUUAACAUCGAUUUGGGUCAUGGCUCCUAGAUGAAGACAUGGCCAAAUUUUUAGUUUACACAAACAUACCACCAACAUUCUACCAGCACAAACACACCAGAACAAACACAAGUUGGACUAGCGGUCAAAUUAAGAAGAACCACAAACCACAUAAAGACAUGUCUAAAGGACAUAACAAACAAAACUAAAAAUUUCUUAUAGAACAGUAAUACUUCAUACAGUUUUCAAUUAUUUAUUAUCAGAAUAAAGAUGAGAAAAGCAUGUUCGUUCACAAUCACCAAUUAUUAGAAUAAAGGUGAGGAAAGCAUUUUUGUGCGCAAACAACAAACACAAUGCAAUAAUCAUGAUGCAUGCUCGUCCUAUUCGUCCUCACUGAAUUUGCCAACAUAAUGUGGCAAUAGCGUUCUAUACCGGUGACAUACCUACGUUCUCUCUCGAUAUAUUUCUAGUCGUCAGCUACACAUACGAGUUCGAAAUUAAUGUACCUGCAGAAAAUUCCAUCAUAGCCCAAUUCCCAAUGAUGCAAUUCACACAUGACAGUUUAUCACAGUUUAUACUCCAUAUAUUGCUAUAUGGAGGCCAGCUCCUCAUUAAGCGCCGAGCCACGCAUAGGCGCCACUGCCACACUUUAACCAUAGGGCAGCUCAUUAUGGUAACUCACCUUCUUACCAGAGCGUAGGUGCGUCGUUGCAAAUACAUUACACUUCUCGGUAUUCCCAUGUCUGCAUACCCAUACACAUCCAUGGGGUACUGAAUCCCAGAAAAUUAAAUACUCCACAUCGCAGCCUUCAUAUAUACAUAUGUAAAACAUGUAUAUAAUCAAGCGAUGUUUAUGCUCUCCCCUAGACCGACGUUUAUUCGGUCAUGCUCUCACAUCUCACGUUACCUUGGACGUCGAUCCAUUCAAGACUGAAUGGCCUCAAAAAUAAUAAUACACAUGUAUGCAUUACCCUUCCCAGGUUGUGGGUUAGUAUUCUGAACUAAGCCACCUAGUAGUCCUUAAUUUAGGGCUUAACAGAGGAUGUCGCUAGCAUUAUAGUUUUUCAAAUCUGUUUUUCAAAACCAAACAAUGUGUUUAGUUGAAAAUAGGUUUUCGAAACCAAAACUUUGUUUUGUAAAUACGUAUGUGACCGUAUUAUACUUAAUCAUGCUCCGAUACCAGCUGUCGCAGAACCUCCCAAGUUAUUGGGCCCACAUGCACCUGUCCUUGUCUCAAAGACCUCAGACAGCUAUGCAUGUGCACCAAACAACUUAACAGGAUCUGUCCGAGUGCCCCGAGGACCCCGGAUAAACGACUUACCGCCAAGAUCGCAAGAUUAAGUAAACACAAAUCACACACCAAACAUUUGCAGCGGAAAUAAAUUCUUUAUUGCAAAAUGAUUACAUGUUACAAUAAGUUUACAUUAGACAGUUAUCGAAGUGAUUACAAAAGAAAGUGAUUCAAAAGAAUUACAAUUUAAAAUGUAUAAAAUAUUUAUAGGUUUUAAAAUACAUGCUAGCUUAAGUGACAAUCCUCAAUAAAGAAGCUAAAGAUGGGAUAUACUUAUAUAAGAAGGCCGAGCCCACCGGCACUUAGCACCAUCCACAACAGAACAAAAUUAUAACCUGAAAAACAACAGGGAAUAAAACCCUGAGUACACAAUUACUCAGCAAGACUUACCCAACUAAAGAAAAGACUCUCAAGGGUAUGCUGGUUUAUUGGGAAUCAAGGUAAAGCUUAUCAAAUUUCAAAGACUCAUUUUGCAGAAGAGCUUACUAGUAGUGGAUCCUUAUGCCAAAAUUUUACUUCACAAGUUAAGUACUUUUCCUGAAUCUAGAUUUGCCUAAUCUAGAGCAUUCACUUGUCCUAUACUAGCUUCAUUUUAGCAGCUUUAGUUUCACUUGUUAUCUACGAUGCAGGGCAGUGAUCCAGUCUUCAUAUCCGAGAAGUAACGGCGAUCUGAAUCGAUUAAUACUCAGCUGAGGAUCUCCAACCACACGACAUAUGUAGCACUUAACCCUUGCAUAUGUCAACUCGCCACCGGGUUUCUCAAGACCAGAACGGGUUCACGCGACCCGAGAGCACAGCACUCCACCGUCCAGCCAUGGGCCUGGUUGGUACACGUUACUUUCGCAUGGUGCCCGCCAUGUUUCCGAGAGUACAGCACCCCACCUUCCAGUCUCUUGCCACGGAGGGUACAAGCUACUCUCGCCAUCUCUCCACUCCCAGUGCGUGCGAGCUGUUCUGGUAUUGGUCCGACCGAGGCAAAGCUUACCCAUGAUGAGGCAUGUGGCCAGUUAAAGGGUCCUAGAUCAGCAAGCCUACUUUCGGUACGGUCCUUAGUCGACACAGACGGGCGACUUUUCCUGCUCAACGUCUGGUCUCAUCUUAUUAUUUAACACCCAAACCAUGUACCUGACAGAGGUACAAUACUCGAAUAAUGAAUUCAUCAUCGCGAGUGAUGCCUUCAUUAUUGCAAGUUCCUUUUUCAUAAAACCCAUAUCCAGUGUUGCACAACAUUCUUUUUAAAAGAACAACUUUUAGUUUUUCUAAGCAGGGCUAAGCCUCAUUAGUUCUCUUUAUAAAAUAGGAAUCAAGGAAGAUAAUCAAAUUCCAAGGAAUGGCAAUGCAUCAAUUGUUUCAUCACUCAACUCCUAUCACCUAAUGCAGCAUAUAAGUGAUAAAAGUUUUAAAACAACAAGGAGGUGGCAAAUGCACCGGGGCUUGCCUGGGAUAAACACUAUGUUAGUGUUAUUAAUUGACGACCACUUGGUGAGCAUCUUCCAUCCUGACACUUGGUUGAUUCAUCCAUUUUAGCUUCGUCCAUCAGCAUCACUUGGAGAUCAAUUCCACUCGUCUUCCAUAGCACGUGAUCAAUUAACGUACCUAAAUGAUAUGCAUAAUGCAUAUGAGAGAAUAAUCAUAAACAAUACAAGAUAAUAACACUAUGUUGAAGAGGGUAAUAUAUUGCUAGUAAGGCAUUAGAACUCCUAGGCAAACACUAGAUACCUUUGAAUUAACAACAAUCAUGAUCCUCGAGCUAGAGGGACCUAAUUCAAACAUUUGGAAAUCAUAACUAAACACAAGCCUUAAGCUAAAGCAUAACAUCGAUAGGUUAUUACCCUUAGACUUGUCACUUUUUAACACUCAAAACUUGGAAAAGGUGAUAGAACACAUGUAACUAACUUUCUAAUUCAAUAAGGUCUGGCACAAGCAUCAAGAAAGCAGUACAUCUCAAAGGAUUACUAGAACUUAGGUUCACUAGUGAUAGUCACCUCAGACUUAGAUUAAAGAUAUGAGUAGCUUAACUAGUUUCCUAAACUUCUUUCCCAAAUUAACUUAUUGUAACACACCAACUAAUAAAUCAUCACAUUUCUAUUCAAUCACACAAGUAGAACACUUAUCACACAACAUAAAGUUCCAUAGAAUUUACAUCCUCAACAAUUAAAGAUCUAAAGCAUACAAGAUGAAAUAUAAUAAGUGUUCCAUACUUUCCUUAGAUUACUGAGUAUAGCACCUUAAGCUUGGGACACUUGUUCACUUGAAUUUAGCAAGUACAAGACUUCAUCAAUCAAGAACUAACUAAAUUUACUUAGUCAAACAAUAAGAAGGAAAUGAAUUAAUCAAAUAUAACAAGGCAUUUCGAUAAACACUUCAUAUGCAACAAGUUGUCAUCAAUCAAGGGUAAAAAAAAUGACCUAGCCAAACAAGAGCAACUUCAAGAAAUCCACUUAAUGCUUGCUGAUUUUGGACAGCAAAACAGCAGCUAGUUGUUUUAUUCAUAACUUACACAAUAUUCAUCCAAAAAUAGUAAACUAAGACUUUUUGGAAAGCUUAUAAAGUCCUCUACAAUUUUGGUAUUAUCAUCACAAUGAGAUUCGACAUUUAAAAAUGUCAAACAGUACGAAAUGCAAUUUCUGUCCAGAUUUGGACAGAAUUCGACUGCUUACUUCAUUAAUUCAUAACCGGAGUUUCAGAAAUCCAAAUCAGGUGAUCCUAGACUUUUUAGAAAGAUAAUAGAAUUGUCUAUAAUUUAUUUUUAAACAUCUCCAGUUAAUUCAAUGCGUAGAAAGGUCAGUUAAUAUAAACAAACAUUGCUGUCCAGAUUUGGACAGAUUCAGACUCUAUAGUUUGAACAACUGUAACUUGGUCUCUAGACCACCAAAAAUGGUGCUCCAAAAUUUGUUGGAAAGCUUAAGCAAUGUACUACAAUUAUCCUAUAAUUAUUAAGAGCUUAUUCUCAGUUUAACUUGGGCAAACAAGGUCAUUUUCGAAAUCUGUACAGAAUCUGGACAGAUUCUGAAACUGGACUUGGAAAAUUCAUAACUCCUAAACUGCUAAGCCUAUGGUCAUGAAAUUUUUACACAAGCAAGAUAAAGCAAUUAUCUACAAGUUUUAUAUGUAACACUUCUACAGAAGACACGGUUUACUUCCCUAUACAAGCUACGCAACUAAAACUGGACACACAGUCCAAAGAGCAAACAUUUCAAUUUAGUUCAUAUUUGGCUUCUGCAAUUAUUAUGUUCUUGACACUUACUAAGAUAAGUCGUUAAUGUUACCAUACAUUAGGAUUUCAUCCAAUAAACACUAAUAACCCUUAUCGGCCAAGAGCUAUAAAUAACAAGCAUAUUCUUUUUCUAAACAUCACCACAGAACAACACAUCUCAAACAUCGAAUCUAUUAAAUCGUACUCGACAAUCACAUAAACCAAAUUGUAGCCUCCUUUCUAAACCAACCAGGUUUAGCCCAAGUAUCAAGAAAGCAAUGAACCAUACAUAUAAACAAAUGGACAUUCCAACGCACGUCUGUCUCGCAUACAAUUGCAUGAACGCAAAAGAGUAGAUAAUUCUAAUUCUAAGCCACAAGUACCAUGGCCGGUAUAUCUACCCUAUCUACUAAUAAAUCGAUGAGUAGUAGUAACAAAUCAGAGUACUAUUAUUAAUCCGCCGUGAAUUCCACAAAACAAAUACGACUCAGGCUUCGGCCUUCUACCAAACACUUUAUUUAAUCGAUCAUAACCAAAAUACGCAUGCUACAAACAAGAUGGUCAUCGUGACCAAUGCAUCCAUGCAAACCAACCAUUUAUCCGACUAACGAAAACAACAUAUCGACUUACCACGACUAAACUUGACGCGGUGUCCGCGAACAUGGCGAUAGUUUCGGUUCAGUCUUUCUAUUUGAUACCUAACAAGUGUCACGCGUCUUCGAAGGAGGACUGCAAGAAACGACAUCGAUUUAUAGGUUUGGCAUUACAUCAAACACAGGGCAUGCAGGGACAGCGAGAUCUCACCGGGGUUUAACGACACUGCAACCAGGCUGCCCAAAAAUCACGGAGUCGACGACGUGCUGUUCGACCACUACCGAGGCGUUGUUGCUGACUUCAAGUGAGGAGAGGGCGCGGCCAUGGGAGUAGGGCUGGCGUUGGGAGGUAGGAGACGGGUGGCCUGACGGCACCAUGGCUGGGGGCAGGGGCGACCAGCGUGCAGGAAACAGGUGCUGCGGCGGCCAUGGAAAGAAACUCGGCCAGGGGCUCAGCGGGAGCACCUGGGAAGGGGCCUGGACGAGCAGAAUCUUGGAGCUCGCGUCCAUGGCAGAGGAAGGGAAGGGGAGGAGACGCCAUGGCUACCUAGGCGUCGAGAGGAGCAGAGGCACCACGAGCUGGAAACGAGAGGGUACCGGAGGGAAAGCAGGAGGCCAGAUCCGACCGCGGCUAGGAGAGCACGCCGGCGAGGCUUGGUGGAGGUGAAACGGUGUUGAGGCCGAUCCCAGUGAGCGCUGACCACCAGCGAACAGAGGCCCGACGUCGAGAUUGGCCGGCACGAGCUGGGAGAGGGCGCCUGUGCCAGAACAGGAUGAGGACCAGAGGGCGCAUCCAUGCGAGCAGGAGGCUUGGUGGCUUGCAGUUGGAGGCGAUGGCGGAUGUGUGAUGAACGUUGAGCACGUGAGAGGCAGAGGUAAGCUACCGACGAUCGAAGCUGGGAGAUCAAGCACCUUCGUUGGCUUAAAAGUGAGCGACGACUGAGAAAAAAUGGCAGCUGGUCGUAAGGGAGAGGCCUGGUGUGGCUUCUAGAGGCCACAUAGCUGCAUGGGCUGAUGACGUGCAGUGAGGAGGAUUUUCUAGAAAUGAUCUGUAUUCUGGAUAAAAGGGAGAUGAAAAUGGUUGAUAAAUCAAAGAAGAAGCUAGUGCGUGGAGGGGAUAAAGCUUACGGUACAAAAUGCUUGAACGGCGGUGAGAUAGUAAAAGAGGAUUUUCCUUUAUUAUUAAAGAUAAAGAAACACAUUUUUACACGUAUUUUGAUUUUAGGAUUGAGUUUGAGAGGUUUAAAUGGACCAAAUUAAAAUGCUACACGGGCUAAGAUACGAUUUUCCACAUCUAUGAAUAGAGAAGCAAUUAUUGGGGUUUGGUUCUGAGUACCCUGGUCUCGUUUAUUUUGUAUCAAAAACCUUAGUCAUUGAAUUCUAAUAAAUUUAUUUGGGACAAGAUCACAGUACUUAGUUGAUUUUUAAACAGGCACCAAACUCAAUAAUUUCCGAGACAACUAAACUCCAAACUUCAUGAAACAUUUUGGAUAGUUCUGAUAGACAGAGAUGAAUGCGAUAACGAAAUCAUGAUAAGCGAAAAUAAUCAGGACAUAGAUACUAUUAUUCUCAACGAUAUCCCUCGCUUAAGCCCAUACUCGCUGUCGAACGAGAAAUAAACAGCUGGGGUGUUACACGAAACUCCAAUGACCCUUAGUUCCGGUGAGACUUAGCGUUUUGGUAUACUUGCUUUGUCAUUGUAUUUAUGGAUAUAAGACUUGGUCAUUUAAUAUACUGGAUGGAUGAUAUGUGAUGAAUAUUAAAGGGUAUUAAAUGUGAUGUUGAAUGAAUGAUAUGUGAUAGACUUGGUUAUUUGAAUGUGAUGGGUGAAUGAUAUAUGGUGAAUAUUUUAAUGAGAUGAAUAUGUGUGUGUGAUGUUGAAUUGUGAAUAAAUGAUAUGUGAAUUUUAUAUGGAUAUGCAGGUGAAUUAUGGACCCUACAAAUGACUUAUUUUCAACGGCUUAAUGGGGGCCACAAAAUAUGAACUCAACUUAUUUUUGCAGACACAACUAUCCACCAAAAAUAUAUAGCUGGUCUUAUUUUCGGCGGCUAGCUACGGCCGCCGAAACUAGGCACUUCAGGUUUUAUUUUUAGUGGCAACCUUCCGGACGCUGAAAACAACUUAUUUUUGGUGUCCACCACCGAAAAUAAAUGUUCUUUUCAGCGAUGAACUUCCAAUAAAGGCAUACCGCCAAAAAUAAAUUGGUAGCCACAAAAAAUAAGUUAUUUUCGGUGGGAGACACUAAUUCUUCAUCGGUUUUGAGCCGUUGAAAGUUUAUGAAAUUCAAAUUCUUAUAUAGUGCAAGUGAUAAAAAUUAUCAUAUUCUUGACAUGAAGAUCAUGUGGAAACAAAUGCUUUGAGUUGAUCACAAUAUGGCUGACAGUUGUAUGGUGGAAUGGUAUAGAUAGAAAUUUGAGAUUAGCAGUUGUUCACUAGCAUCAGGUGUAGUUCAACAAGUUUGGGAAUGCUUUUGUUGUUGAUGGAUGUUGGCAUGAUGUUAGGAUCAUCUAGCAGCUGCUGGAGAUAGCAACGGCUCCAAUAGAUAUUAUAAACAAACUUGUAGUUCAACAAGUUUGUGAUGUGAUUUUUAUCAAAUAACAUUGCGCACCAAGAGGAAACCGAAGCCACAUUAUUUGGCCGUGACACAAAUUGUGUAGCCAUGCGACAAGAAUAGGAAAGAAAAUAAUAUAACAAGGUGUGACUGUGUUUGUUUAAGAUUAUAAUCUGUCCAGAUUAUAUAAUGAGUAUUAGUUUAACUUUUGGAUUAUAUAAUCUGGGUAUAUUAUAAUUCCAAACAAACACCAUCUAUAGCUUUAAGCCAAGAAAUUGAUUGAUGGCAGAUGUAUGGAGUCCGUGUCGGUGGAUGUAGUGGAGGCCCACAAAAAGACAAAAAAAAUACACCCAAACAAUUAGGGCUUAUUCGUUUCACCGUUAAUCCAUAUGGAUUGGGUGGCACUGAGUCUGUUUAAAUCCAUAACAAGUCAAAAUUCAUCCAAAUCCAUUCCAAUACACUUCAAUCCACAUUGAACUGGAAUAACCGAACAAGCCCUUAAGUGAGUGUUUGGUUUCUAAAGACUAAUUUUUAGUUCCUCAAUUUUAUUCUAUUUUUGUCCCUAAAAUAAUAAAUACGGAAACUAAAACAUUCAUAUUUAGUAAUUUAGUGACUAAAAUAAAAUAAAACGAAGGAACUAAAAAUUAGUCCCUAAAAACUCCUAAAAACAUAUUUGUGGAGUUGGUGCCACAAAGAGAAGGCAAAAAAAUUUUUCAAGUAAAAAUGUAAAUGAAGAAAAAGCUAGCUACCCGCGCUCGAUCCAUCAUAAAAAGGAUUGAAGCAGUGCGAUAAUGUGUCACUUAGCAAGUUGAACGUACGUAAAGCAAACGCAAGAGGGGCAAGGAGACGGCAGUGGUAGUUAAUAUAUAUAUAUAUAUAUAUAUAUAUAUAUAUAUAUAUAUAUAUAUAUAUAUAUAUAUAUAUAUAUAUAUAUAUAUAUAUAUAUAUAUAUAUACUGCCACGAAUAAAUUAGGUUUUGAAUACGGUUUUGUUUGGAAGCAAUACAGUUUUUAAGAAACCAGUUUCUAUUUUUUAGCUAGGAGAGAUCAGCUUCUUGGUUUUAAGAAACUGAGAAUCUAAUUUAUAUAAACUGAGUCAUAAACCAGCAUGUUUGGACCACCUCAAUUUCUAUAUUGUCACAAAUAAAUUAGGUUUUGAGUAAGUUAGAGAUGGAUGCGUGUUAUAUAUAUAUAUAUAUAUAUAUAUAUAUAUAUAUAUAUAUAUAUAUAUAUAUAUAUAUAUAUAUAUAUAUAUAUAUAUAUAUAUAUAUAUAUAUAUGUUUAAGGGCGCAAGCACAAUACUGCACUCUCCCUGCUUGCUCGCCCGAUCCGUCGAUCUUCUCGAGAGGAGCAGUUCAAAUCACCCUGUACGGAUCCAUUGGGAUCACCUAGAGCCGCGAGUCCAGUUGAGUGAAUCCUUUCAGGCUGGAUGGAUGCGGUGGGCUAGCUCUGCUCUCUUCUCGAAAUUGCAUAUUGCAUAGAGUAGUAUUGUACGAAACGAUAUCUCGUAACGGAAGGAUGGGAACCAAGAGAAAGAAGACAGCUCUAUCUCAGAAGUGAGCUCCGUCUCACAAGUUAGCUCAGCUCCGUCGACACCUCGAGCUAUUCAAACGAGUGUUCAGUCAUCAGAUCUCAAUAUCGGGUUGGGAAUCUUUCUAGACUAAAAAGUUUCGUUUUCGUGGGUCGGUGUCAAGUCUAUCUCUCAUGUUGCUCCUUAGAAAACGCGUAGAAUAGUAAUGUCAUUGGUCCACUAGAUAAGGAUGGGACAAACGCUCUAGUCUAUGCGUUAGAAGGCAACUAGUAUUUUUGGUUAUUUUGGGAGGGAGUCUUAUAUAUAUAUAUAUAUAUAUAUAUAUAUAUAUAUAUAUACUGCAUUGGAGCAAAAGGUUAGUAGUAAUAGAUUGGGGCAUGCACGUACGUGCAUAUAUAAGAAGAAUUAUUGCGAAAAAGCAAGCGAAGAGGCAGAGCUACACUAUAGACCGAAAGGCACAGCAAGCAGCAGCUUCUGCCACUGAUGUUUUAUUUCUCUCGACGCAUGGACGAAGCGGCCGAUCGAUCGGAGCCAGCAGUCUCUGCUUCUGCUUGAUUUGAAUGGUUGUGUACGUACCACAGCAGUCAGCAGCAGCUCCACUCUGGGUAUAGCCAUGCGUCAUCUGGCCAGUCUCGUCUCGGUAUCCUUGCUAGGUAGCUGGUAGCGAUUCUUCUGCUUCUUUAUUUGAUGCAUGCAGCAGCAGCAACAGCAGCAGAUGCAUUGAUAGAGAGAAAGAUCGAGAGGUCAGAUGCCGAGCAGAGGAAUGGAGAGGACAGGUCGCACACCACCACCACCACCACCAGCAGCAGCUGCUACAGACAUGAAGGCUCGCCACCAGUACUGCCACCUAGCUAGCCCUAGCAGUAGGCCGGCCAAGGAUCCAACUUCCAUGCAGGCGUGCAUCGAUCGUGCGUGAAUGCAUGACGGGUCACUAGCUAGCUUGCAUGCUCACGUACUUGUACAUGCAUGGCCUGCCCUGGCACUGGAUGUCUGGAUGUCGUCGGACGACGACACAGUAGUAUUCUGCAGGAGCAUUCCAUCCACUCCAGUAUUCUCACCCCUUGGAUCGAGAUACCUGCGGCGGCCAUGCAUGGGAGAAUGUGUAGUUGCAUGCUCUCUCUACUACUGCUCUACGCAAGAAGGAGUAACUUGCAUGCCGCCAAAUGAUCGACAAGUGUGAAGAGAGCUAGCCUGCAGCAUAUCAUCAAUAUCAUUUGACCCAUAAUAUAAUGGGGGGUUUUUAUGGUGGUGCCCUCGGUUUUGCUGGUGUGCUCAUUUUUACGCUUAGUUGCGUUUUUUUGCUCAGUUUUGCCCUUCCAGUGCUAUAGAACAGAAGGGUAAAACUGAGCAAAAAACACAACUAAGGGUAAAAAUGAGGACACCAGCAAAACCGAGGGCACCACCAUAAAAACACCUACUGGUCAUAUAUAUACAGGUUCAGAUAAAUUAAACCAAGACUUAAUUCUCUCUCUCUCUCCAUCGAUCUAUCUCAUGCCUAGCCUCCAAGUAUAUAUAUACGACUAUACGUGGGAAAAACAAAAAAUAAAAAACAAAAGAGAAAGAAGAGAACAUAACGAAGAUACUACCUCCAUUCUCAAAUACUUGACGCCAGCUAGUUCAUUUUUGAACUAAAAAACUUUAAAUAAAAAAGAAGAGAGUAUAUAUAUAUAUAGGGAAGAGGUAAUGGAAGCCCUGGGCUUCCGUUAGUGGGGGAAGCCCCAGCCAGGACGCCAAACCAGAUCGCGGUCGGCCCACUGUACGCAAGCAUGCGUCAGCCAUGCAUAUGAUAGCCACGAUUCCCGGAUGAGACGUGACAGGUGAUAUACGCACGCAUAAAUAUAUGUAGAAAUGUGCAUAAAUCAUGUAUAGAAGAAAUCUUUUGGACCACGAAUCACGAGAACGAAUAUUACCAUGUGUACACCGUUUACGACUGCAUAACGCUGUGUAACAUAAUAGCGUAAACCAUGCAACAUUUAAAUAUCCACCGGUUUGAGAUAAGGAAAGACGUGCUCCACAUUCGCGUAAAUAAAGGCACAGUUACGGGAGGAAACAAAUUCUCAUUUACAGCCGCUCGGCCAUGUUCGUAUCUGUGAUAUUGGCGGCGGUUAACGACUGUAUAACGAUGCGUAAAUAAACCGUUUACGACUGCAUAACGAUGUGUAACAUGAUAGCAUAAACCAUGCAUUAUAUAAAUCUUGACCGGUUUGAUAUAAGAAAAGACGUGCUGCAUAAUCGCGUAAAUAAAGGGACAGUUACGGUUUGAGGAGCAUUAGUAGAAGGAAAUAAAUUUUAAUUUAUAGCCGCAGUUCGCGGGUUCUGCUCGGGCGGAUUCCAGCGUGAAACGUGAGCUAAAACAACGUAAAUGAGUACGAAUUUUAGCGUAAAUCAUACAACAUUUAAAUAAUGCUCUCCUGAUGAUUACAAUAGUACAAUUUUAAUAAUUUACCCUGGGGCUAUACAUGCUGACUGAAUUUCUGUGUUAUUUCCAACUGCACAUAUAUAUUUUUAUUCUCUAUUGUUUCAACGUGUAUUUACACUGUAUAUAUACGUAUGUAGCAUAGUAUACAACAGUCGUUAACUAAAUUGUGAUGGUGACUGAUAUGAGAGAUCGAUUCUCUAGAUCGCCGGACUAUGGAUGUUGAGCAACGAAACCCUAUUCCGAAUAAUGCUCCUGAACACCACCUCGCUGCCGCUCUCGCACUCAUCGAUGCAUCGCUCAAGCUCCUCGUGCUUCUCCUGCGCGACAUCGGCCGUCGUCGGCGUCUCCGACUUCUUGGCGAAGGCAGCAGCCACGAAGGUCGUCGGGGCCUUCUUGUUCGAGCACGAUGACGCGGCGGCAGACACGGACGCGACGGCCGAGAACACGGCGGCGGAGGCGGCGGCGCUGGCGGCCGCGACGUCCAUGAGCGCGGCGGCCAUCUCGGCCUCCUCGGCGGUUCCGCUCCCGCCGAGCCCAGCCCCAGCAGGCAGGCGCGCGACGGACCUGGCGGCGAGGCGGGCGAGCUCCCUGUGGAGCGCCACCGUCGCUCGUUCCUGGUGGAGCGCCACCGUCGGUCGCCUGCCUCGAGGCGACACCGCUGCUGGCCCCCAGGAUCACCGCCACUCGCACGCCCGAGGAAACCGCCGCCGCCGCUAAAACCUAAUCCCUAGCGGCGUGGGGGUGUUUUUAUAGUGUCGGCGUGGGACUGAAUAAUUGUGAACGCGUGGGCCGGAUCGUGGGCCUGAUGCACGUAAUAUGCGCAGACUAUAUUUGCAUAAACUGAUACACACAUCAGCAUAACUCGUAUUAUAAUUUAGCGUAAGCACAGUUAGGUACAAUAAACCAAAAAGGGUCCGGUGCGGUCUGCGCACCUGGUCAGGGCUUCCUGUAGUUAAAUAGAGCCCAGAGCUCUAAAUACUAUAUAUAUAUAUAUAUAUAUAUAUAUAUAUAUAUAUAUAUAUAUAUAUAUAUAUAUAUAGUUAGUCCCUGCUCCAUCCCUCUCAUCAUAACCUUAUGAUGUGGUGCCCAAUCAGCAGUCUACAAAGGCACAACACGGGUUGUGUUACAUGGCAUACUCUCCACAGUUGCCGUACUAGCUAGAGGCAGACAAACAUUGAAACGGUUCUGUCCAUAGUAAAAAAAAAAGAAAGAGGUUUCGAUAGGAAAGAAUUCAAGAGAAUGAAUGCAUUCAAGUUUUCCAUGAAUGCAAUGCCAGUAGGUAGGGACAGCAUGCAGUGCGCAGUAACGUGUCUCCCCAUCUUGUCCCUCACUCUUCUAUUCGCUUCCAUGCAUCCAAGUAGUAGUAUCUAUAUAUCUUGCCCGCUCUUCCAUUUAUUCCCUCUCUCUUCAAAAUAACAAAUCUAAUUUACAUGCAAUAGUUUCCAAAUCCCCACUAAGUCUAUCUCCAACAGCUUAUCCAUACUCAAUCUACAUUGUACCAAACAAUGUUUUUGGAUAAACUUUAGAUAAACCGCUGCAAACAGCGUAUCCAACUCCCACACUCGCAUUUUAUUAGUAUAAUCUCAAACAUGUAAGUCUUAUGCAUUACUUCCUUAGCGCCAGUUUAGCUUGUUCACUGUCUAAUCAAGCUAACAUUAUUUUACAUAUGACUUCUAUUUGUUUCAGGCAAAAUUUUCACUUAGCAAAUCACAUUUCCAUAUAUAGGCCUAUCUGCACCAAAAUUCUUUUCAAAUUUCCACAGAUUUAUUCGUCGUAUUUUAUUAGUAGUAUUGUAUCACAAAUGCAAGUUGUAUGCAUUUUCAGAUUCCAUUGGUACCAUUUUAGCUUAUUGAAUGUUUGACGUUGCUACCGUUAUAACCUCCACGCCAUAUAUGGUUUUGAUAGUAGUGAGAUGUGUAGAAACCUAGGAGAACUACAUUGAAACUCUAUGAUUUCAUGUGUAGUUCUCCUAGGUUUCUACAAAUAGUGUCCCACAACUUUCUCCAAACAUUCUAAAAUUUUUAUCGCAGCCUGUACAUAUGAUAUCAUGACACGUGGACAAGUUUCAGGAUUUUUUGACUUUGUUUGUGUUUUAUACAAUUUUUAAACAUGUGUAUGGCAAGUUCACGGCCAUGUUUAGUGAGCAUGUUGCUCGAAGUUUCCGGUCCGCUCCUGAAAUCGGUCGUAACUAAUGCUAAGUAACAUGAAUAUUAUUUUUGCAUGCACGGUUUUCCAAGUUUCGAGUGACCUACAGUUCAAAUCUAAAUUUUCCGAAGAAAUUCAAAUAAACGAACUAAAUCUACUAACGAUUGAAAACUCUGUUAAAAUUGUCCACAAAUGAUACAUGUAGGUCUACAUAGUGUAGAAACAUACCACAAAAAUUUCGAGAGACAAAAUAAAAAAAAUAAAAAUAUACUUUGCCGAGUGUCCAGGAAUGACACUCGGCAAAGUAUGCUUUGCCGAGUGCCUACUAUGUGGCACUCGGUAGAGAAUCUCUUUGCCGAGAGCCAACGGAUGACACUCGGCAAAGACUAACGGCCGUCAGCUUUGGGACGGCCGCUGACGGCCGUUUGCCAAGAGCCCACUUU
This 55264-nucleotide long non-coding RNA is filed under the name Zea mays. Its description in RNAcentral is "long non-coding RNA (ZMAY_LNC002677)". Lineage: Eukaryota; Viridiplantae; Streptophyta; Magnoliopsida; Poales; Poaceae. The record is from RNAcentral.